Molecule: long non-coding RNA, 62636 nt
Filed under: Vitis vinifera (wine grape)
Lineage: Eukaryota; Viridiplantae; Streptophyta; Magnoliopsida; Vitales; Vitaceae
Description: long non-coding RNA (VVIN_LNC006642)
Source: RNAcentral
UUAUUUUCAACAGCUCGCUGAACUUGGAAAGAAGAUAUGUUCAACCAAAGGAGAAGAGCAGGAAACAGCCAAGAAGGAAUUCAUAGAGUGCCUUAAGCUAUUGGAAGGAGAGCUUGGAGAGAAGCCUUACUUCGGCGGUGAAAAAAUUGGGUUUGUGGAUGUGGCUCUGGUGCCCUUCUCUUGCUGGUUUUACGCAUAUGAGAGCUUUGGCAACUUCAGCAUAGAGGCGGAGUGCCCCAAGUUGAUAGCUUGGACCAAGAGGUGCAUGGAAAAGGAGAGCGUGUCGUCUUCUCUUGAAGACCCGCACAAGGUCCAUGGAUAUGUUGUGGGGAUAAGAAAGAAGUAUGGUAUAGAGUAAAAGGGAAACAUCAUGGGCUAUUAAGCAGUGUAGUUUAGUUAAUAUUAUAUAAUAUAUAUGAGUGUUUGGCUGUUUGCUUAAGUUUUUUCUUUGAAAUUGUAUCGUUGAUGAGGGUUGGUGGGUUUGCUGACCAUUCCAUCGUUUCAUGUCACAUAAACAAGUAUUAAAACAAGUUGGAUAAGACAUGCCUCUUGCCUGGAACCUGACAACCUGUUGUACAUCCAUUGGAAAAAAAAAAAGGUACAUAGCGUUAAAACCAAAUAAUAAUGAAAUUGAUCUUAAAACUAAACCUACUUUUUUUUAAUGCCUGAUAGGACAAAGAACAUACAUAUUGUCUUAAUUACUAUCAAAUGACUUGUGUACACUGUACACAACGUUCAUAAAAUGUACCUUUUUUCCUAUAGAAUGAAUGAUGAGUCAUAUACCUAUUCAUAAAUGAUAUACCAUAAUGUGUCAUGCUUAACUAGUACUACAUGAGUAAAGUUAAAGCAACUUGCUCAUGCUUUAUGCUUGUUCCAUAAUUAGAGUCACUUGAACAUGUAACUUAUAAAUAAACAACGGAUAUGUAUAAUAAGUGAAGUGAAACAUUUAUACAAUGUAAAUUUGAUGCGCUUAUGUUUUAAGAUGAUGUACUUAUUUUUCAAUAAGAUGAACCUAUUUUUUCAAAGGAUGUACCUAAGGUUCUAGAAUGAGAAAUGAGAUGUGUGAAGGCCUCAAAAGCAUUCCGAGGCCUAUAAAAGUGAAAGUGCAUGAUAAGAAUAAGCCAAACAAGUCACCUAUACAAUGAAAAUAAUAUGUACCAAUUAUUUUUUAAGGAAGUGUACUUAUUUGCAAUAUGAUGUAUUUAUUUUUUUUAAGGAUAUACCCAAAGUUCUAUGAUGCCAAAGGCCUCAAAUGCAUCUCAAGGCUUAUAAAAGUGAAAACUCAAGCUCAAAAUUCGCCAAAUAAGUUAGUUAUACAAUUUAAAUGCAAUGUAUUUAUUUUUCAGAAGAUGUACAUAUUUUUCAAGACGAUGUACCUAUUUUUCCAAGGGAUAUACCUAAAGUUCUAGGAUAUAGAAUGGGGUGCGGGAAGACCUUAAAUGUACAUCGAGGCCUAUAAAAAUGAAAGCUCAUGUCCAAAAUAGGGCAAAUGAGUCGAGUAUAAUGUACUUAUUUUUUUUAAGAAGAUGUGCUUAUUUUUCAAUACGAUGUAUCCAUUUUUUAAAUUGAUGUACGUAGGGUUCUAGGACGUAGAAUGGGAUAUGUGAAAGCGUCAAAUGUAUCCCAGGCCCAUAAAAGUGAAAGCCCUUGUCCAAUAUAGCUUAUGUCAGUAAAUGCAACCUAGGCCUACAAAAAUGGAAGAUCAUGUCCAAAUUAGUGUAAAUGAGUCACAUACAUAAUAUAUAUAUGGUGUACUUAUUUUUAAAACAAUUCUAAAAAAUAAUUUUUAAAAAUAGUUUUUGAAAUUUGUUUUUUGAUAUUUUGUAAACCAAAAAUUUGUUUUGAAACCUACAAUAUUUUUAAGUUGUUUUCUAUAUUUUAAAAUAUAUUUUAAUAAUAAAUUUUAUAUGUAAUGUUUUAUUUUUAAUCACUCUUCAUGUUUGUAUGCUUACUUUUUAAGUAGUCAUAAAAAACCAAUUGAAGACCACUAAAAUAUAUUUUCAGAAAAUACCAUAUUUUUGUUUUUAAAAUCAAAAACUAUUUUUUGUUUUUUAAUUGUUACAUUUGUUUUCUUGUUUGUUUUUUUUUAAAAUAGAAAAUUAUUUUCGAAAAUAAUUACCAAAUAGAAUCUUAAUCUUUGUCUUUAUCUUUUAAAAGUAAGGAUUGAAAUAUCAGUAAAUAUGGAUAUAUCGAUACUUGGAUUUUAUGGAUAUAUCAGAAAUAUCGGAGAAAUAUCGAUGGAUAUUUUUCAUCAAAUAUCGGUGAGACAAAAAUUAUCCAAAAUUGAUGGGAAUGCUUAGAAAAAUCCAAAGAAUGAUAAAAUAAGCAAGAAUAUACAUGUUAAAGUUAUUUUAUAAGUGUAAUUAACAUAAAUAUGGUCAAAGAAAAAAAUAUCGGUAAACAGUUUACAAUACUUGGAUUUUAAGAAUAGAAAAUAUGAAAUUUGGAAUUGUACACUUAGAAAGUUAGAAUUGAGUUAAGAAAUAUUUGAUUUUAUUAAAUGAAAACAAUUUACACAUAAACAUAAUACAUAUGACAUUGCAAUGGUCCUUAAUACCAAAAUGAAGAUCGAUGUGGUUCCAUCAUAUUGUUAUUGUUAGAUGAAGGGAGUCCAUCUUGUUGAAGACAAUAUUUAUACCAGGACAUGGAGUUUCGAUAGUAUUGAUUGUAUGUAUGAACAUGUCAUGCAUAAAUUUCUUGUGUCCUAUCGACAACCUGUCCAUGGAUGGGAAAUCCAAGGUUUUCCCAUAUGCUCGUUUGAAAUCCUUGUUGUUGUAGCUGAUGUGGAAGAUAGUAUGGCAUUUGUGUGGAAGAAGGAUAGUUAUACCUUUCAUACUCUUCAUCAGCGGAACUUGAAACAUUUUGAGGAAGCUGACCAUAACUCAUUGCAUAAGGGGCAUAAAUGUUGGCUUCGUUUGAUGAAUCACUGAAUUGAGUCUCUACACUCAUCGACUCAAAACUGGCCGACAAUGAGUCCUCGUUGUAUGGCAUCAUCCUUCGUUGUCUUCUUCUAUAUGGCUUUCCAAUGGCUCCAACACCUGAACCGGCUCUUCUAGAGUUGUGGUCUUCAUCUUGAGUACAAUGUGUGAAAUAAUCUUCACAAGUAAAUGUCGAUGGUUAUCCACUUCGUUGUUGUUGUCUAACAUCCCCUUCAUCAUUUCCAAGGUCGCUACCAUCAUUGGUCCUCUCUCCUCUUGAACCAUCAUAACCGGAAGCGGAAGUACCAGUAGACUAUGUCUACUAUUAUGUUCAACACUCAUGGAGUCAAAAGAAGGUCAAGAAGUGACUGUCGGCUAAGAAAUUCCUUGUCGAAAUGAAUCUCUCGUGUCUUGGCUAAAACUAUCAGUAUGAACUUCUUCGGAUAACACCCGAUCAACAUCAACACUUGCUUCUCAAACAUGUGCGACAAUUCGUGGGUCGGGAUUUCCAUCUUCAUCAUCUAAAUGAAGAAGUCUAACCCAUUGAAACAAUUGGUUAUCUUCUUCUUCACCAACCUCAGUUGCAAUGUCAAGUAAAUCGAGGUAAUCUUUCUCUGCAACUUUGUCAUGUUCUGCUUCCAUGUCACAUAUCUUUAGUUUCAUGUUAUAAUAAAAAAAAAACUAAUUAUUAGAGCAUCGGGUAAGCAAGCCGAUUUCUUUGUUUUGUAUGAAUUAAGGCAAACAUGCUCCAAUUUCUUUCACAAGUUGAAGAUGAUGCAGUUUGCGAUAAAACCUUAAUGGUCAACCUUCUUAAUGUAGGAGUGUGAUUUCCAUACAUGAACCACCAUUCAGCUACAACCAAAUAAAUGAUAUCAAUACUUAUAUUGGAAAGCUACAAUAAUAUGCUAAUGAAAUGAAUUAUUAAUUCACAAAUAAUACUCACCGGGAACCAUUUCUGACCUCAAAGCAAUCGCUGCUCGAUCACCAAAUCCUCUUUUUGCAUCUCAGAAUAGUAUAAUCUACAUAUUAAAUAAUUGAAAAUGAAAAAGUUGAGUAAAUGAAAUUCAAUUAUUUAAUUUAUAUUAUAACUCUAAUAAUUUACCUCAUUUCCAAAUUGACUAAGACCUUCUGAUGUAGGAUCUAAUUUCGUAAAGACUUCAUGAACAGCUUGAGGUAGAUCAGGAUCAGUACCAACUCCACGUUUAUAUUGAAAUCUUGGAUUAAGAAAGAAUGCUAGAAUAGCAAAGUAGAAAUGUAAAAUUAGAAUGUUAUGAAAGACACAUAUUAAAUACCAAUAACUUUCGAAGAUGAAUAAUACUUACCUACUGCAUGAAGAGGAUGUUUAAGAGUUCUAUCCCAACGAUCUGCAAUUAUUUCUAAUAUUCAUUCUUUAGCAUUAAGUCGAAUGAGGUUCUCUUUCAUAACUCGAAUCAAUUUGUACACAAAUGACAUUGUAGGAACAACUUCUGAAUCGACAAUGCGAAGAACCCUCAUAUAUUGACACUAGCUCUCCCACUCUUUCCCAGUACGCAUGGUCAAACAUAAGUGAUUCAACUUCUUUACCGAUUAAUGUGCUACUUAAGUUGUGUUGUGCCCAUUCAUCACUGAUAAACACUUUCUUCAAGUUUGCUUUCUUUUUCAAAAGACUGUUGAGGGCCAUAUAAUUGGUUGCAAAUCUUGUUGCUCUAGGACGAACUAUGUCUCCACCACACACCUUCCGCAUCUGCACAAGCAACCAACUAUGGUUAUAAAUGAAGUCGGUUAUCUUUCAAGCCUUUGUAAUCACAUCUGCAACACUCGUCCUUUUAUCGAUGUCUUCGAACAUUAAGUCGAUGCAAUGUGUUGCACACGGAGUCCAAUAAAGAUUGUAUUUCUUCAUUAACAACUUCCCCGCCUUCACGAAUGCCGACCCAUUAUCUGUAACUAUUUGUACCACAUUUUGUUUCCCAACUUCCUUGAUCACAUCCUUCAACAAACCAUAUAUGUAUUUGUUGUCCUUUAUAUUAUUUGAUGCAUCAAUAGAUUUGAGGAAGAUUGUGCUACCUUUUGAAUAUACCAUGAAAUUAAUUAUGCUUAAUUUCGUAGGCCCAGUCCAUCCGUCGCACAUAAUCGUGCAUCCAUAAGUCUUCUACUUUUCUCUUUGAAUAUUGACAUAAGCUUCCUUGUCUUUGUACUCCAUAUCCAAAUACUUGUGUUUGAUUUCAUAAGGAGAUGGUGGUUCUAUACCCAUACCUACCAUCCAUAUAUAAUUAAAGCAUAUAAGAACAUUUGUGGCAAUCAUACUAUAUAAAUAGUAAUGAUAUUGUUAAAAUGAAUACAACUUUUAAAAUUAUAGUAAUUACCUGCUUGUUGUGCACCAACAAUCAUGUUCUUGAAGUUGUGAGAGUUUGCUUUAUUGGGCGGAACACUCUCAUAUAUGAAGAACUUACCGAUCAAACGUCCCAUGGUUUCCUUAAUGGCACCACCUUUGAAAAGAUUUUUCAUAUUUUUCUGUCUUACUGCUGAAGAUUUGUACAAUGAGGGUGCAUCAGGCAGUGAUGGAUCUGAAUAUCGAACACUUUGCGAUUUUCGCAUUUGCCUUGUUGUUGGAUUGGUUAGAUGUGAAGACUCACCUAUUAUAAUUAUUAAAAUUAAACAUAUAUGUUAAUUUAAUAUUAUUGAUAAAGUUGAUAAGAAACAGUAAUAAUUCAAAUUAAUAUUAUACAUGUUUUCCUUUUGCCUUUUACAAAAUGUUCUUCUUGCAUGUUGUCAAUUCCAUUCAGCAGCUUUUGAUGCUCAAACUGCCUCUCUAUAAGCAUGCCGCUCAUCAGGGUGCAUGUCAGCCGGAUACAUAUACACAUCAUCAUCUCCAUCAUCAUCAUCACCACCAAGGUUCUCCUCAUCGUCCUCAUCAGUUACAUGUCUAUGUCUUCUUCCCAUUGUGUCUCGCAGUUCAGAUCGAAUCUCUUCUAUAUCUGCAGCUUUCUUCGCUUUUGCCUUUUUUUUUUUUUGUUCUAGAAGUCAUCUUAUUUCUUGUUUCACUUCUAGAGGCACGUUAGGACACUUUUUUGUAUUUGAAAUAGGGUCUGUAUGUGAUAGGUGAAAUUUAAAACGAGUAAUCCCACCACUCUUUAUUGCCAACCCACAGUAAUUGCAUACUGUUCCAUUUUUGUUUCCUUCCAUAGGUGUACAAUAUUUCCAACAAGGAUCUCGUUGUUACCACUUUCACUAGCCAUUUUCUGAAAUUGAAUUAUGAAACUAAUAUCAAAUUUAAAAUUAUUAAAGAUAAAACAUGUAAGAAAUUUAAUAUUCAUGAAAUUGAUAAGAACUAAUAAAAAUUGAAUUAUGCAUAUAUGAAAUAGAUAAACAUUACAAUAAAAUUUCAAUAUGAAUUAAAUUUAAAUUAAAUUAAAUUAAAUUUGCAUAUUCAUGAAAUUGAUAAGAAUCAUUACUAAUAAAAAUUAAAAUUAAAAUUGAAUUAUGCAUAUAUGAAAUAGAUAAACAUUACAAUUACAUUUCCAUAUGAAUUAAAUUUAAAUUGAAUUAAAUUAAAAUUGCAUAUUCAUGAAUUUGAUAAGAAUCAUUAUUAAAAUUGAAUUAUGCAUGAAUUAAAUUUCCAUAUGAAACUAAAUAUGCAUAUAUGUCAAAUCAAUUUCCAUUCCAUAUGAAAUUUAAUGUUAAAAUGACAAAAUUUCAAAUUAGAUAAUAUCAAUUAAACUAUAUAUAACAAAUAAAAUUGAAUUAUGCAUAAUAAAAAUAAAUUUUAUGAAAGGUAAGACAUACCUUAAUUAGCCUUGACUUGGAGUUAAUCCCCUUCACCACCAAAUUUUCAAAAUUUUAAAAUUUUGCUAGAUCAUAUAAGAAUUUUGAUGUAUGAAAUGCAAUGGAAUGUGGGUAUUUAUAGGAAUUUUUUUGGUCAAAAUAGUCGUUGGAUGGUCAAAUAGCCGUUAUAAAUUAAUUUUAACCGUUUGAUCAAAAUUUGGUUAAAAUUUCACCAUUAGAUACUCAUAUAACCAUUGGAAACACUUCAUAGCCCUUGGAUAAAGUGAAGAUUGAUUUUCCACCAUUGGAUCACAAAUCUGACCGUUGGAAGCCUUUACAAAUACACGGGUGAAAUCUGGGCCAUCAAAUCCUCAAAAAUUCAAAUAUGCCCGUCGGAUCAAAUUCCUUAAAGUUGCAAAAAAUCGCCGAUUUUUUCAAAUAAUCGGUGAUUAAUCCUGAUUUUCUCAAAUAAUCAGCGAUUAAUCCCGAUUUUCUCGGCAAAAUAUCGUCGAUUUUUUCAAAUAAUCGGAGCUAUAUCGAUAAAAUCGCCGAUUUUUUGGGGUUGUCCUCUGGCUUCUCCGCGCGUGCCUCCACUUGCGAUUUAUCUCCGAUUUAUCGGUGAAGCACCGAUAUUUCGCCAAUAUAUCGGUGAUUUUAUCGAUUUUUUGGCGAUAUUCUCGGGGAUCGUUUCGAGGACGACUAAUAUCCAAUAUUUCUCCGAAAUAUCGACGAUAUUUCCCGAUUUUUCAAUCCCUGUUUAAAAGAAAAGAACUAUAAAAAUAUUUUUAAAUUAAAAGAAAAUUAAUAUAAAAUAUUUAAUAUAAUUUUUUAUGAAAAAAUAUAUAUCUAUUUUAUUUUAAUAUAAACAAAAAAUUAUAAAUUUUAAUCAAACCAUAAAGCUAGAACCAUAGUGAAACUAGAACCAUAUUUAAUGAUUCUGGUUUUACGAUGGAGGAGAUAUGUAAGAGGUGAGAUCACCCCGUAUUUUUUAUUAUUUUUUUUAUGAUAGUGAAAAUUUUUGCAAAAACAAAGUUGACAUAUCUUUCACAUUUGAAAGUGUGUGUUUUUUUCUCAUAUGUUAUUGCUCUCAGAGCGAGAGUUCUCCUAACAAAAAUGUAAAAUAAAAAAUAGGAAAAGUCUACAAUACCUCCUUCGGUACCAUGCCUCCAUUUUUUAUCAUCCAUUGGAUGAAAAUGAUUAAAUCUCAGCCAUCCAAAAUGAAAAAGAAAAAAAAAAUUCAAAAAAAAUUCUCCCGGGUACCUUCCCCUCCCGUUCUCUCCCCCAUUCGGCAUCCUUUUCCCCUUUUUCCCCCCUAAUUUGCUCUCUUGCUCUCUUCCCCUCCAUCUCACGCAUCCUCCAUAAGCCAACUUCCUCAGCUCACCCGUUUCCCGCCCCUCCAUAGCUGGGUGUCUCGCGCAUCCUCCAUAGCCGACUUCCUCAGCUCACCCAUUUCCCGGUCUCAUCUUUGUUUGCCGACUUCCUCAUCUUUGUUUGCCGACUUCCUCCAUAGCUUACCCAUUUCCCGCUGUCAUCUUUGUUUUCUCUCCCUUUUCCCGUUUUUCUCUCCACUGAUUGUCCACAGCUGGGUGAAGACCACGGUCGGCUUCAACCGGGCCAACCUCUUCGAGGCCGACAUCGCAGACCUUAUCAAAGACGUCUCCACAGCUAGGUGGAGACCACCUUCGCCGUCAGCCGGGAUCAAAGACGUCUUCACAGGUGGGUGGAGACCACCAUCGCCGUGAACCGGGCCAACCUCCUCCAAGUCGACGUCUUGACCUCAUCAAAGAAGUCUCCCUCAAGGACCGCGAGCUCAGGAUUGUGGGCGAGGUCGGUGCCAAGAUCCGAGUCUUAGACUUCAUUUCUCCCGAUGUCCAGGUCAGCUAUUUUUUCUGCUAGAUUUUUCUUCUCGAAGAUUUUAUGUAAAUUUUCUGAAUUUUUGCUUUCUCUCCCCCCUACCCCUGCAUUUUGUCACACGGAGAAUUUCUGUUCUUUUACACGGAGAAUUUUAGUGGAAUCUUCAUAACCCUUGUGUUUUCUUCAUAUUUUAUAUUUUGUUUAAGAGGUGUAAGGGGGUGUUUUCAGGUUCUAAAUUUAAUGGUUUAAAAACCCGAAUUGAAGACGUAGCUGGAAGAAGAAGAAGAGGACGUGUAGUACUAAGGAAAAGAAAGCUGAGAAGGACACAAUUGUUUGUCACUCAAAAGGCGCUUGUAUCCUAAUUAUUUGGUGAGUUCUAUAUAAAGGGAAAAAAAUGUGAGUAGUAAUUAUGUGUUUUACAAUAUUGUGUCCAUUAUAUUUCAUGUUUUUUGUUAGAUUUAUGGAUUGAUUACAUUAUAGAAAAAGAGUGUGGUUAGAUUAUUGAACAUUGAAAAAAAUUUGUAUGUUAAUUUUGUCAUCAUUUUAAAUGUAAAGAUAUUUAGGGAGGAUGUUGUAGUUGUAAUGGUAUUUGUAUUUUAAUUGGCAUUUGGUUGGUUGUAGUAAGAUAUAAAAAUAAAAUUUAUUGAAAUGUGAAAAAAAACUUAUGUUGAGAUAAUGUGGUGGUGAAAGUAUGUUUGAUUUAUUAUAUUUGAAAUCAUAUUAUAAAAAUUGACUUAAAUGCUUUGAUUUAAUUUUUAGAGCGAAUGCGAUGGUCUUGAAGUUGUUAGAAAUCCAAAGAGGCCUAUCGGCGCUUGGAUACAUUACUAGUAAGGGAAAAUAGAAAUAUGUAAAAUAAUAUGUUUUUUAAUUUAUUUUUUGUGGUUGUUAUUGUUAAAUUUGUUUGAAAUUGUUUUGUAGUAACGAUCANNNNNNNNNNNNNNNNNNNNNNNNNNNNNNNNNNNNNNNNNNNNNNNNNNNNNNNNNNNNNNNNNNNNNNNNNNNNNNNNNNNNNNNNNNNNNNNNNNNNNNNNNNNNNNNNNNNNNNNNNNNNNNNNNNNNNNNNNNNNNNNNNNNNNNNNNNNNNNNNNNNNNNNNNNNNNNNNNNNNNNNNNNNNNNNNNNNNNNNNNNNNNNNNNNNNNNNNNNNNNNNNNNNNNNNNNNNNNNNNNNNNNNNNNNNNNNNNNNNNNNNNNNNNNNNNNNNNNNNNNNNNNNNNNNNNNNNNNNNNNNNNNNNNNNNNNNNNNNNNNNNNNNNNNNNNNNNNNNNNNNNNNNNNNNNNNNNNNNNNNNNNNNNNNNNNNNNNNNNNNNNNNNNNNNNNNNNNNNNNNNNNNNNNNNNNNNNNNNNNNNNNNNNNNNNNNNNNNNNNNNNNNNNNNNNNNNNNNNNNNNNNNNNNNNNNNNNNNNNNNNNNNNNNNNNNNNNNNNNNNNNNNNNNNNNNNNNNNNNNNNCACGGGAUUGAAGAGUUUAAGAAGAAACAACAAAGUGGGGUUUGCGGUUGCUUAUUGUUUUUAAUGGUAAUUAAUUUACAUCAUAGUGAAAUACGAUUUUGUUUUAAUAUAAUUUAUGAACUAACUAUAUAUCUAUGUCAAAUAUACUCGUAGUUAUUCUACCACGAGCAUAUAUCGUUUGAAGAGAAAUUCCUACCGCUAUAUACUCGACCUUCUCCUCGGAUUACUGCUUGGGGAGAUGAUGAAGUAUUGGACAGGAAACGAAGAUUGAAAAAACUUGGUGGAUAUGCAAAUGAGAAUGUAAGUUAUAGUUUUGAAAGUCGUUUACUAUUGAUUUAAGUUUUUAGUGAUUUAAAAUAUGAUAUGUAUUAUAUUUUGAUGAAUACAUUGUAGCUCAAAAUAUGGGUGAUAGAAAAUGAGAUAAGGGAUUGCGUUGAUGGAAAUGCAACGACAAUGGCGAGUGAGAAUGAGGACGAUGAGAAAUUUGUAUCCAAUCUAAACAAAGAUGUUAUUAAACGAGUAAGUGUUUUACAAUAUAUCGUGACUAUCUAUAUUAGCAUUGAACCUUUGUAUUAUGAUGUUAUUAAUCACGUUCGUAUAUAUCACUAGGUUGAUGGUGGGAACUUAAUGGAGAUGGAUAAAACCUUUCAACAAUUAAAGACACAUCUACUUGAUAUGGCUUAUGGUGCAAGUAGUAGUAGUUGUGAUCAAAUUUUGGCUAAAUUUGAGGAGAAUUAUACUACAGUGAAAGGUCUCUUCCUUAGGUCAAGCGGAAAACCUUUGAGAAUGCACGAGGAAGGAACGAAGAAUGACAUGCUCUCAUGCGAGAGAAGUUUGGAAGAUACGAACAAUAUGAAUGUGAAUGAACAUUAUCUUCACACUUCGUCAAAUGAGAAGUUAUGCACCGAGGACUUGAAUGAAAAGAAUGAAGAUGCAUGUGCUACAUCAAUUGAAGUGCAUAUCAUUCCAGACGAAAAUGAAAAUUUUUUACCACUUCCAAUCAAAAGGAGUAGAAGAGAUUAUGGAAAGGUAUGUAUCAUAUAAAAGAAAAAAUUAUUUUCUUUACAACUACUUAACCAUUACAUAGUAAAUAGAUGUAUAUUACUGACAUUUUCCAUAUUAGGAACCAUUACGAGCACUAUGUGGUUAUCCUAAUCAUGUCAUGAAAACACGUUCAUCAAGGGAGAGGAAACCAAGUAAAUUCAAGGUCUCCCCGUUUGUACAGAAAUCAAGGAAGAUGGUAAAACGUGACGCAUCAGAGGUAUAAUACAAAUAGUUUAAUAUCAUUGUUCUUAUUUUUUGAUACUUAACAUAUAUAGUUAAUAAUUAUGUCUUGUAUUCGAAUUAGUCAAUCCCCAUGUCCAUUCGUGAAGACGUGGUGGAUAUUCAAUCAUUCAAUGUACUUCAAUCUCUUGUCGCUGAUUAUGUUUUCAAUAAAGCGUUGUCAAAAAGGUUUGUCGCGUCUAGAACAUUCAUAGAUGUGUUGUUACAAUUUUAGCCUUCAUAUGCUUCCAAUUUACUGAAGUUUGUUUGAACAUAUUAUUAUUUUAGUGAGCUUCUUGUUGACUUUGGUCAUGAACAUGGAGUUCGUGGAGAUUUUGCAUGCUUACGUCCUAGACAAAAUUUGAUGGAUGUUGUAAGUACCUACUUCAUUUAUAUCAAAUGCAUCCUAUAUUAGUUAAAUAAAUUUAUUGAAGUUAUUGUUCAACAAUAGGUAAUAAAUUUAGAAGCCUCAAAGCUAAAUUAUUUUGAAAGACAAUUCAUAGGCAUACGAAGUAUAAGAUGCUAUCUUCCCACGACAUUUUCAGUAAGCUCAUAUUUCUCUUGUUGUUUACUUACAUAUUAAGUACAAUAUAGUAAUGUUCGUAUUAUGUUUUCUUAUUAGCAAAUGAUUUUGUGCGGGAGUCCUCAUCCUGUUUUCGAUAGAAAAACAUCCAUCGUGAGUAAGCACAUUAGUGAAUUGGAUGAUUGCGAGAAGGUUAGUAAUUAUUUCUAAUGUUUAAUUGCAUAUAUGAAAUUUAGAAUAGAUAUUGUUUUCACCUAUAAUAUAGUAGAUUUUUUUUGCCCCAACUCAUAUAUAUUGUUUUUCUAACUUUACAGCUAUUUAUUCCAAUGCAUGACGAAUGCCCUGGUCAUUGGUAUCUGUGCGUCAUUGACUUCAAAAACUCUUAUACCCAAAUUUUGGACUCAUUACGAUCGAAGAAUUGAGACAAGUUCCGGUUUUAGAGUGUCAAAACAGUGGUAUGCUUUCAUGUUUAUAUUUUUCUUCUAUUCUAUUUUUUCCUCUUCCAUAUUUAUUAACACUUUCAUAAUAAAUUAGGUUGAAUUUUGUCAAACGUUCUUCAAAUUGUAUGACAUAGGGAAAGAUGUCUUCCAAUUCUCCAUUGAUUGGGCUCCUUCGAUUCCGACCCAAGAGAAUGGGUUAGUAUGAAUACAUAACUCACAUUACUAUUCUUUUCCUGAGGUAUAAUUAGACAAGCAUUGAAUAAGUUGUUUUGCUUUUCUUUUCUCUUUCUUAGGUGGGACUGUGGAGUGCAUGUCAUUAGACAUAUGCAGAGAUUCAAAAAUGGUGAUCCGAUGACGAGCUCCGACUUUUGUAAUUCUAUGAAAAUACGUCGAGAAAUAGCAUGUGAUUUAGUUUUACACGAGGGAAAUAGAGAAAAACAAACCAUUGUGGCUAUUGUUUGUACAAAGACGUCGACACGAGCAAUGAAAAAAUUAUUAUUAUGAUAUUUGUUAUUUUUCAAAUAUUUAUCAUUUCCAUAUCCACAUAUCGUCAUGUUUAUUGGGAAGUUGUGAGCUUCGAUGACCAUACAUUAUUAAUGAUUAAGUCCAUUUUAUUUCAAUAUCCAAAUACUCUUCUUUCAAUAUGGUCGUCAAAAUGAAAUUGUAAUAUAUUGGUAUCAUUCAUGUUCGACAUGUGUGAUUUUGUACGAUCUUUAACCUAAUCAGAUCUGUAAAUAUUCAUUUAUCUAUGCUAACAAUAUAUAGUUAGUACAUUACUACACUGGUUGACGAAUGUCGUUCAGCCGGUAAGAACCAGUCCAACGAUUUAUCUAUGUCCACUUUUCAUAGGCAUACGCAUUAUUCGUACCGGUUGAGAACAUUCCUCAUAUUUUCAGUUGUGGAAAGUGGUUGAUCGAUGAAGAAAUUGUCUCAACCGGUUGACGAAUGAUUUGACCAGUGGGAACCGGUUGAGAAAUAUAGCAAAUUGGUUGAGGAAUUUGCUCAAUCGGUUCAUGGUUUUUUAACCAGUGGCAACCGGGUGAAGAUGGGCAUCAACCGGUUGAGGAAUUUGCUCAACCGGUUGCGUAUAUUUUUAACCAACAUCAACCGGUCGAUCACUUCUAGAACCGGUCGACCGACUUGGCACAACCGGUUGAGCAACUGGUUGAGCCAUUUUUGACCAGUGGCUACCGGAUGAGGAAUUUCCUUGGCCGGUUGAGAAGUUUUCUCAACCGGUAGCCACUGGUCAAAAAAAUCCUCAACCGAUUGAUGGCCAUUUGCUCAACCGGUUUAGGAAAUUCCUCAAUCGGUUGAGGAUUUGUUUAACCAGUAGCUACCGGUUGAGGAAUUUUCUCAACCGGUUGAGGAAUUUUCUCAACCGGUUGAGGAAAAUCCUCAUCCGGUAGCCACUGGUCUAUAAUGCCUCAACCGGUUGAGGAAAUUCCUCAACCGGUUGCCUCCUGCAAUGCUAUUGUGCACAAAAAGGGUAUGAUAUGAGUUGUACCAAUAACUUUUCACUAUGGAAACAUUCGACAAUGUACCAUUAAGUUCAAUUAUAAGGUUUGAAAUUGAUGGAAACUGGCAUUACAAUUUACCUAACUACGAUUUACCCAUUUUGAGUAAAAUCACUAAAUUUACCUAUUUCAUGUGAAUUACAUCAUAUUGAUUACUUUCCUAUAGUUAACUCAUAACCACCUAAUUGUCAAACUUUAACCACAAUUGAAUUUAAUUAAAUCCGCAUAAUUAACCGUUUUUUUCGACAUGAUAUAAAUGAAUCGGUUUCUCCAUUUACCAAUCAUUUUAUCCCUUGUUAUCAAUUAAAUUAUAAAUGUAGAGGAUAUUGCAUUCUAUCAAUCAACUUGACUCUUGAUCAAAAUUCAAACUUUUCAUUAAAUAGUUAAGUUAAAAGUACACAUUAGUGGAAGUGAUAAUGUCAACUAAUAUAAAUACUGAUUUAAUACCUACCAUCCCUUACUCCGCUAAGGAAUAAAAAAAAGGUUGCAUAUCCUUUUCAUUUGGAUAUUUGUUUGGAUCCCCACCUUCACAUGGUGUUGACAUACUUUGUUCAUGUUGCUGAAAUCCUGCUAUUUGCACAUGCACAUUUCAUUGUUUUUUUCAGCUAUCCAAUUCCAUUCCAAUUAAUUAAACCUAAUCAUUAAAUAAUGCAUAGCUGAAAUUCAUGUCAAAAGUGUUUCUUCAUUCCCGAUCUUACAUUAUUAAGUUCAACCCAAUCUAUGUACAUGUCAGAUGGGUCAUUCGGCAACUGCUCCCUUAACAUUCCCUGCAUGUUUCAAUAAUUAAGUGUUGUCAAUUAUUAUUGAAUUAUAUGUUAUCAAUGUUUGGAAAUUAUAUAACAAGCCUAUUGUACAUACAUGUAAGGUUGCAAAAAUGUCAAUUGAUGAAUUUGUUGAAGGCAUCAUUUCCCUUUGAAUGUCACAUUGGGAAGACAAAUUAGUUUCCUCCUACGUACUCAUAAUGCCAUCAAAACAAUUAUGUUAGUCAUUUAUGUUAGUACACCUACAAAAAUUAAUCUUAGGGGCAAUUUUUAUUGAAUAUGACAUACCAUAUAACCCGGCUGAGCAUUUUGAGGGAUUGUAGCUUCUGGACACUUUCGAAUUGUGUGACCCACUCUUUUACAACAACCGCAUCGUCUUCCCUUUUGAACAUUCAUUGCCACUUUGCCUGGAUUCCCUUUAGUCUUCACAAUAUUUGGAUCACGAACUUGGUUAGUACCUAUCGCUCCAUCUGAUGCUAUUUUCUUCCCUUUCAAAUUAUAGUUAUAGAGUUCCUCCAUUCUCGCCGUCAAAUUUUGUAUUUCAUUUUUGGCCUCUAUAAAUGAAGAUGACGUAUCUGACACAAAGUAGGAGAGCUUGUUGCACAUCGAACUCAAUGAACCAUAUCGUACAAACCGAUCCAUGUUGUUAUUCGUCUCAUUCACUGGUAUUGAUCUUGUAUACACCUUUGCUAACUUUGUCCACCUCUUCAUAAUACAUGACUGAGGAAUCUCUUCCAAAUGCUCCACCUUCAUAACCACCACCAUGUGGCAACAUGGGAUGCCAAUUGACUCAAACAUCAUGUAUGAGCAUUUUAAUGUUACAAUAUCCGGGCAAAAUUGUACUUCCCAAUUUAAGUUCGGGCGUCUAAACUUAGAUAAUGUGUAUGCCCGCAUUGAAUGAUCACUUACAACACCAACCACAAAGAAUAACUCAGCAUUUUUCAUCUCCUCACGAAAUUUAAGGAAAGAUUCUUUUGUGUAUACCGUCGCAGCAUGAUUUUCAAGUAUGGCUAGUUUGGUUGAAAGCACGGGUGAAGAAUUGUUCGACUCGAACUCUGCCUUUGCCUCGUUUUGCCGUAUUCUCAGUAUGGCUCUAUCAAAUUGUUGUACAAACUCAUAGAGUCGCAAACGAAUUUUUAAGAAUCUAUUUAGAUAUGCAUUCAUACUCUCAUACCUUUGUGUGGUUCUCAUCCCUCCAAAGAAAUUUCCACGUAAAUACGCCUCUGCCCAUCUUUUACGUUUCCCAUAUAUCUCGGUCACCCAACGAUUCUCAUUAAGUCCCAAAUUUGCAACCAUUUCAUGCCAAACCUUUUCAAAUUCUUCUUCAUUCCCACGCAUGAACAUGCACCUUGCAAAUAUGCUUGAGAAGUCCUUAAUAUGCACAUUCGUGAAUGCAUUUCGUUGCAAAUGCCAUGAACACAAUCGAUGACACGUAUCGGGUAAUACUUUUUUAAUUGCCUUACGCAUAGCUUUAUCCCCAUCAGUUACUACAGAUAUGGGUUUCUUAUUCAUCAUUGCAUCAAGAAAUGUCUCCAACACCCAUUCAUAUGUCCUAAUACUUUCAUCUAUCAAUAACGCACAACCAAAUACAACAGUUUGAUGGUGAUGAUUAACACCGACCAACACUAUUAGAGGCUUUUUAUAGGCAUUUGUCCUAUAGGUUGUGUCAAAUGCUAGGACAUCUCCAAAACACGCAUAAUCCAUUCGAGCAGUUGAAUCAGCCCAAAACAAAUUUGCUAGUCGACUUUCUUCAUCAAUGUUGAAUUUAUAAAAAAAUGAAGAAUCCAUUUCUGCCUUUCCACACAAAUAAGCCAAUGCCGCUUCUGCAUCACCGUCUUUAAUUUCACUUCUACGCAUUGCAUCAACGUGAUUGUAUAUAUCUUUUUGUGUGAAACCGACGUGCUCAUGUCCCCCUGAUUGUUUUACCAUAUAGUCCAUAAUUUGUGUGGUUUUAACACCUACUUUACACAAAACAUCAACUUGUGCCUUAUCUGGAUUACUUAUUGUUCGAUGAGACCGAAGGAAUUGUGUGUUGAUAGCAUCGACCAAAUUAUGAUUAUGAUCUCCUAUAAAUUCCUUUACAAUCCACUUUCCAUCUUUCCUAUUCAAGCCUACACGAAAUGCAGCUUCACAUCCAACCCUAGUCAAUGAUCAUGGCUCACGAUGUCGCUUGUCAUUUUCAAUAAACUUUGUCACUCGCUGUCCUUCUCUAGAACACACCCACUUUCGAGAUAUUAUAUCUCCAUUCUUGUCUCACUUCAAAUCAUCUUUUCGAAUACUAAAUCCGGCUACUCUAGCUAACAUGUUGUAAAAUGUUUCAGCCUCAUCUAUGCGAUCGAAUUGCAAUUUGUAGACUUCUUCAUCUGAAAUACCCUUCAACACCUUCUGUUUCAAACCGUUUCCACCCAGGUUGUAAGUGGCACCGAUAAAUACAUUGUCAUUGAUGACGUCCUCCUCUUUCACUUCAAACUCCCGCUUGAUUGUUUUCUCCUUCACCGAUUGCAUAAUCUACAUUACAUAAAUAAGGUAAAAAAAUUCCCCAAUAAUACUUUAACAAAUUAUCAUAUCACUUUUGAAUCAAUUGAUUGUAUACUUGAAGAUAAACCGAAUUCGACAACGUCAUCUAUUCUCAUUUUUGGAAAAAAAUUUAGAAUUUGAUAAAUUAUAGAACCGGUGUACACUGCACACGUGAUAAUUUUCCCAUGAUUUUCCAUUUAAAAGGUCAUAUGUUGCAAAAUUGAUACUACUCUGCUAUACACAAUCAUAAGCAAAACUUUUUAAAAUCAUUAAAUAUCACUUAAAAAUCAUUAUGUUGAGGAAAUAACUUAUGACAAAUGCAAGUGCGACACCAAUACCCUCAAAAGAUGGCAUUAGACAAUGAUCCACGUCUGACAUCUAUACAGAAACGCACCAUAAUUUAAAUUGUCCUUAGACAACCAAGUGAAGUAAUAGUUAAGUUCAACUUCGUAGACAUGGUUCUGCUGUUGAGGCUAAGGUUGUAGUGCUUUUGGAGGUCCUUGUGCAAUAACAAUAUUUCAGAUUGUCCAACUUUUUUUUGGUAGCGGAUGGUGUUGUUGGUCUUGAUGAGCAUAAAAAAACAAUCGGUACAUUUGUUUGUUUCCUCGUAACCCGAAUCUACUCUCUUCCCUUGCUCUAAGCUAUUAUAAUGUGGUUGAGCUACAAAUUGACCGGAUGCAUUUUGGUGGUGUUCACAAAAUUUGGCAGUGUCUACCGGUUGAGAAGAUCUAGCGACCGGGCGUAUUACGCCGGUCGACCGGUUGUGGAUUUUUUAACCAGUAUAUACCGGAUGAGGAAUAUCCUCAACCGGUUGAGAAAAUUUCUCAUCCGGUUGCCACUGGUCAAAAAAACAUCAACCGGUUGAUACCCAUUUGCUCAACCGGUUGAGGUUUUUUUAAACCAAUUGCUACCGGUUGAUGAAUUUUCUCAACCGGUUGAGGAAAUUCCUCAUCCGGUCUUCACUGUUUUAAUAUGUAAACCGAUUAGCUAAUUGUUUCUUUUCGUUGUUGAUUUCAUUAAGGCCUUCAUUCCUUAUCAGAACGUUAUAAUGUUGCCCUAUUUAGGCAUACUAUGUUAACAAAAUUUCCAACAUUAAUCUUAGUUGCCAUCUUCAAGGAGUUUGCCAGUCACAAUAAUUAAUACCUCUCAUCCACUUUCUUUAAAAACAUGGAAAAUGACUUUUAUAUAAUUCUAUCUAAAAGCACGGAAGCUUUUGGGUACACCGCCAAACUUAUUCCAAACUUACCCCAUAUUGGGAGUCAAUAAUACACAUUUCUUAAGGUUGAUUCUCUCUUUUUAAGUCAUUUGAAUAUGUAUUACCCUAUAAUUUUGAUGAUGUUGUGAUUUUUACAGCCAACUUAACUCACUUAUAUUAACUAAAUUAAUCUCAACUGUUCAACAGAUCACUGAUGCAUAUUACUAACAAUGUGCUUUAGACAAUCAAAAUCCAAACUCUUUAACAUCAAUACAUACCAUUUAAAAAUCACUAUUAGGUUUUGGAAAUAUUCGCCCAUCCAUUUCAAAGAUGAAGGCAUUAAGCUUAAAAAAUGUAUUAUGGAUUUGUUUACCUAUUCUUUAUUGAGUUAAAGAUCAUACCGUUAAAAUGGAAGGUCCAAGUGUGAUGCAGCUUGACCUGAAGAUUUGUCUUCUGGAUGUUUUUUGUGACUUGUUCUCCAACAAAUAGCAGACCUCGUUCAGAUGCUAAGGUUCUUACAAUACUAAAACUCCCCCAAAUAUAUACUAAGAUAUGUAUGUGGUUGGUUGCUGGAGUUAUUACAUUUUUUAAUAGGCUGCCACAUGUUGAAAACCUACCACCACAAUGGUACACUUAGUGGUUGAUAGUUUGGAUAUUUGCAUCAGUUUUUUAGGUACCAUUAAAUAUAACAUUUAUAUCAGUUGGGAAAGUCAGCCUAAUGUGGAUAUUUUUUACACCCAUUGCAAAUGGAUAUGUGUAUAACUUAACAAAAUAUAAAGGGGAGAUAUGGACUUAAUUGAUAAUAUUGACAUUUGUUACUAUUGUUUAGCCUAUUUAUUGUAACUAUGUUUUGAUACCGUUUCCUACUUACUAUAUUUUUUCAUCAAUUAACGGUAUUUUUUUUUUAAAUCAUGCUUCCUAAUAUAUCCUAUAUAUGAGAAAGGUUAGUUAAGCAGACUUAAUUACGUAAAAUGAGAUAUGUUAUGAUAUUCUACUUAUGGAAAUUUUAAAUAAAUUCAGAUUCAUUAAUUUAUGUCACUCACCAUGGUAUAUCGUACUUAUUCGAACAAUUUUUCAUACAACCAUAAUUAAUUUUAAUGCCCCUAUGGUAGUAUAUGUUAGUUAAUUACAAUUUUAAUCUAAUAGGUCUGACUAUAUCUUAGUGAGUUCAUUACACUAUAUUUUUCCAUGAAUUAACGUAAUUUAUUUUUAAUUAAUGCUUCAUAAUAUAUCGUAGACAUGAGAAAGGUAGGUUAAUUACACUUAAUUACGUAAAAUGAGAUAAGUUAUGAUAUUCUACUUAUGGAAAUUUUAAAUAAAUUCAGAUUCAUUAAUUUAUUUCACUCACCAUGGUAUAUCGUACUUAUUCGAACAUUUUGUCAUACAACCAUAAUUAAUUUUGAUGCCCCUAUGGUAGUAUAUGUUAGUUAAUUACAAUUUUAAUCUAAUAGGUGUGACUAUAUCUUAGUGAGUUCAUUAUACUAUAUCGUACCUAUCAAAAAGAUUAGUUAAUUUAUAUGAUUUAAUUAACUUAAGUUCUCAUAUUUUAUUUUCCUUAAUAUAAAUUUUGUGAAAUUAACUUCAAUUAAUUUCUUUAAGGUACAUCAAAAUAUUUAUUCAUUUAAUCCAUUAUAGGUUUAAUCAGUUCAUAUGGAAACUAUUACAUUAAAAGUGUAGCAAAUAUAAUGUAAGACAUUAAGUUAAUUAAAAUUUAAUUACUUCAUAAACUGGAUGUCUUUCCACGAAGGUCGACCGAUGUUCAAACCAGUUCUACCCCUCAACCCCUUUGUCUUCUACUCCAUUCUUCUUCAUCCUCGCGCGAGACCUGAACCCGUCCGUCUUCCACUUCAGUCUUGUUCAUCCUCACGCAAUACCUGAAGCCCAUCUGAAUACUCAUGCCCCCAAAACGAGCACCGGUCGAAGCAUCCUCACCCGGUCGAAAAGGGAAGAGCCCGGUGGUAUCAAGGAUGCGCGGGACCAACAAAAAGACCUCCGACCGACAACAAGCAAGCGAAAGCACCCACAACACCUUGGAUGGAGCAAAACGCACCACCAACGGUAAACGUCCGGCCGUGGAAGCAAGUCUGGAGGUUCGUAAGAAGGCCACCUUUGAUCGAUCUACGUUCGCAACCCCUGACCUAGCCCAACGAUUUCAUCUUCACUUUGCGAAUCGGACCGUAAUCCCGGGUAGGAACAUUGCUUUUGCAAAGCUCAGUUAUUUCCAUUUCGAUGUGCUUUUCGCGAGAAUGGGUUGGCUUCCGAUUGUCUCCGUCAAUGAGUUCGUUUAUCCCAAGGUUGUCAAAUGUUUCUACUCCAAUAUGACAUUUGAAGACGAAGGACCCAUUACUACCACGAUUAACGGUGUACAGAUCGUUUUUGAUGUUGCUGCACUUUGUCGGAUUUUAGAGAUUCCAAACGAAGGGGUUUGUUUGUAUGAAGCUAAGAAAUGGCCAAAGGUGGAAGGUUUCAAACCUGUAGAAGCUUUACAGAGGCUAUGUGGUUACUCGAGAUCUGAUAGACCAACUUCCCAUUUGUUGACUGUGUUGAGUCGUAUCCUACAUCACAUGAUAUCGUACAUUUUCAUCCCUAAAGGAGGGCACCGAGAUGAUGUAUCUUUCUUGGAGGCUUUUUUGGUUGACAGCAUUCUCACAGAAAGAAAGGUUAAUAUUGGUUACAUAAUUUUCCAACAUAUGAAAGCAUGUUCAAUCAGCGAAGAUUCAGUUCUCCCCUAUGGCAUGUUUAUCACAAAGAUUGUCAAAUACUUCAAUGUCAAUUUGCGCAAUGAGACAGACGGGAAAAAACUCAAAUCAUUUGAUACAUAUGAUCGGGCUUCACUUCGCCGCAUGCAUUUUGUAUGGAAGAAAGAUGGUUCAUGGGCAAGGAAGUCUUCCGUUCCCCCCUCAGAGGUUGAUGUCUCUUCAGACAAUGGGCCCUCCGAGGAUGAAGAAUAUGAAGAUGAGGAUGUACAGGGAAGAACUCAUGCAAAAGCAAAUGUCACACAAAUACCGUCAACAGGUGGUGUAAGAGCUAGGGCGUUAAGAAAUCAUCCUUCACUAAUUGGACCGGACGACUCUGAGGCAUCAGAUAACCUCAAUGCCCAGAUUAAGUCCCUUGGUUCCCGCUUGGAGGAGAUUGUAUUAGCCAAUGACCGACGUUUGACAUCUCUGGAGAAUCGCAUUGAUGGUUUACACGAGGAAGUGAAAGAGGGUAUGCAAGUUAUACGACGCCAACAUGAUGAGAUGAUGGUCUUCUUCCGAUCCCACUUCCCGCUUCAUGGACCAGACCAUUAAUGACCCCUUCUACAUUUUGUACUAGUUUUAUAGUUAUUAAACUUUCAUUCUGUUUUUGGACAUUUGGCUAAUAUAAAUGCCCUUUUGUUAUUAUGACUUCUCGUAUUACUUAUGGAUGUUGUCAUCGGCCAUUCACAUAAAUGGCGUAAAUGUAUUCGCUCAAUGAAAAUGAUGGUAUAUGGAUUAUGUAUUUUCCUCUACAUGUAUAUAUUAUACCUAUCUUAUUUUGUUUAUAGCUCUUGAUAUAUAGGUUAUUUUCAUCUCUUUAAAACUUUUUCUGUAUAUUUUAAAUUGUUGGUAGACAUCACAUAAUUUAGGUUCCCAUUUGGGUGCCAUGAAUAUUUUUGUCUUUUAAAUAUUGAGUCUGAAAUCCCUAGUUUCGGAUGGCAAAAGGAAGGUUAUGACUAUUUCCAUCAAAAGCAUAGAAGAAUCAUGCGUUAGGAAGGUUAUACUCAGUAUUGGUUCAUCGUAAAACGUAUGUAUUCUCCUCCCUUUGUCUAAUCUACUAUAAUGUGUACGAAUAUGGUCAGCCUACUAUAUUUUUUUUUAAUAAAACUUGGGUAUUUUCAACCGGUUGAGGCAAUGCAUCAACCGGUAGCAAGUCCCGCUAUUGGUUUUGGGGGAAAAACAAUGGCAGUGUCAACCGGUCGAGAAAGAGCAUCAACCAGUCGCAUGUUGGUUUGCAAUCGGUAGCCACUGACCACUCACAGGUCAACCGGUUGAAUACAACCGGUCGACCGGUUACUACUUAAUACAAUAGGGUGAGCUAUGCUUGCAUGCUUGCAUGAAUUAUCGUACUGAGUUUUGGCCCUCUGCUUUCCAUAUUUAACCCAUUCUUUAUUUACUAUUUUAAAUACAUUUUUAUUUGAGGUGCAUUUGGAUGUCUUAUGAAAACAAAUAUCUCCAUUGUGUUUUGCAUAGAUUUGAAGUUCAAAUUUCAAUUCUAGAAUGGUGCUAUAAAUGAAAAUGAGAUUGCUGGUAACAGGCCGAUGGCAUUGGAUCAAUUUUGACUUCCCCAUUAAGGGCAUUGUUUUAACUUUUAAUUUUUAAUCCUCACUUGUGAGCCAUUGAUUUCCAUUGUUGUGAGCCUUUAAAUUUCCAUUACACAUCCAACUGCAUCUGUAGUGUUUACUUCUGUCCAACAAUUUGUUUGUUGUUGAUCCUAUUUUUUUCUGUAAGUCUUCUUUGAACCAAAUGACUUAUUUGAGUCGAUUUUAUGUGGUUUGAGGCUAUAUCUAGGUUGUAAACUAAUCUAGAUUAGAGCAAAUUAAUUCCAAUGGAAAUGAUGGAGCACUUAGAAGAGUGGGCUUUAGAGAUUGGUUAUAAGGCGGGUGGUCUUCUGUCUACUUACUUAGGUCUUCCUCUUAGUACCCCUUUUAAAUCUAUGGUGGCUUCAAAUGGAGUGAAAGACAGGUUCCACAAAAGACUAGAUAAAAGAAAAAUACAAUAUAUCUUUAAAGGAGAAAGGCUCACUCUAAUUCAAAACCCUUUAUUUAGUUGUUCUAUCUAUUUUGUGUCUUUAUUUUGCAUGCCAAGGACAAUCAAAUUGAGGUUGGAGUGGAUUCAAAGGGAUUUCCCUUCGGAAGGCAAGGGCUCUUGAAAGAAAAUCACAUUUACCAAGGUGAGCAAUUGUUUCUUCAGAAACAAUUGAAGGAGGCCUUGGGUAUUAGGUGUCUCUCAACACUUAUCAAAACACUACUUUGCAAAUGAAGUUGAACACAUGCAACUGUUAGGAUCCACAUUACCUCCUUAUUUAUAACCUAUGGAUACUAAAUAAAUUGCAAAAUUUUGUCCAGCAGUUUCAGAUGAUGAUGCAAGCUCCGAGUCUGGAAUACACUGAGCACAAAGAUUUGGACAAACAAUGGCACUCUCCUUGGGGCUCCACUGUGGUUGAUGAUGUAGCUCCUGCAUUUAAAACGAUAGUGGAGGAGAAUUAUUUAUCAUCUUCAACAUUUCAUCUAGACGAUACAAACGAGAAUAGAUUGCAAUGGUGGACACAGAGAAAGAACCUUGAUCACCACCGUCUUGGCAAAUUGGUGAGGUAGGUUUUCACUCCCUUCUUACCCUAAGUUUGUAUAUCCAUGUAUGGAGUUACAAAGGUUCUUUAGUUUGCAUUUGGGAAUAGGGGCCAAGUACCCAAUUCCCAUCCAUCAAAAUUCAUUUAUAGAAUUUACAUCACUCAUCUCUCAUCUCUAAUUGUUUUGGAUUUUGACAUGGUAGUUAAAGAUCAAGAAUUUCAACUGUUGCUAUGUUAAUGGUUGCUGAAAGUGCAUAAACAUUAUAGCAUUAUGCACCACUAAAUUAUUUAUUUUAUCUUCUGGAAAUUCAUUUUUUUAAUAGAUUGUCAACAUACCAUGCCUUUUAUAUGCUAAGGACUUGGAAGAUUUAUGGUUGGGUCCCUGGAGAUACUUGCUUUUGGGGGAAUGUUUGGACUGUGAACGCCUGGAUUUGAUACACAAGAAGCUGGUGCAUGAUCUAAAAUGUAAAAGUCAAAUCGAUGUAAAUAAGAGCCUUCUUAAAAUUAUUGUUUGGAGUGCCAGAUAUUCCCAUGGAAGAGAAGAAUGUUUUUUGCAGCUAUGUUUACACAAAGGCCGUUUUAUUGGUAAAGUGGGAUUUUAUGAUGAAAAAACAAUGUGUAAGGUAUUCUCUAACCACUAUCUAUUCCUUGGAUUGAGUUAUGACCCUACUUUUGUGUUACAGACAUAUGGGGCCAUUGAAGUCCAUGAAAUAUGGCUCUUUAUUAAAAGCUAUCUACAAGUCCAUGAAAUAUGGCUUCUUUGUUUCUUGUCCCCUAUGGAACUGCUAUGAAUUCAUCCACCUCUUAGCCUGAAUCUCAUCAAUUUAUGCAUACGUCAGUAUGAUGUAGUGGAAUUUUUAGAACCUAGACCUUAUCACUUUUUUUUUCCUUGUGGAUGAUUCUAAUUAAGUAGCCUAGUUUCAUCUCUUUCUUUACAUUUCCAAGCUACUUCAUCAUUAUUUGUUUUGCUAUGCAUCAACCGGUAGUAGUUUGUUUUGCUACCGGUAACAUGUGCCCAUUUGGGUUUUGGGGAAAAAAUUUGGCAGUGUCAACCGGUCGAGGAACACCCUCAACCGGUCUCAAAUUGGUUUGCAACCGGUUGCCAUUGGCCAUUUUGGGACGUGCAUCAAGAAAUGGCCAGUGUCUACCGGUUGCAUUUAACCGGUCCACCGGUUAAGACUUACUACAAGCUUUUCCCAACUCUUUUCAUUCCUGCUAGCAAUAGAUGGCAGAGGCAAGCUUGGUCAUUUAAACGGUGAUGUGAGCAAACCAGGAGCACCACAAAAUGAGAGUCACUUCCACCAAAUCUUUGUGUAUGCCAAUAAGCACCACAAAAUGCCCGAUCACAUCCUAAACCUGCGAGAGAAGGAAAGAUAAGGAAUGAUUGCAUAUCUAGAAGCACUUCAACAUAUCUCAAAGUAUCUAUGAUCAUCAUUUUAUUCCUCAAGCAAUUAAUUCUACUUCAAAAGAAUAUGAAAAUAUUUUGAGUUUAGAACAAAGGAUACCCUUAAAUAUAAACUUGUUUAUUCCACUUUUACAAAGAUUACAAUUUAAACCAAAGUUUAAAGUCCAAAACCUCGAUUCAAACAACCCAAACUGUUGGUCAAUAUUUACAUAAUAAUAGAUAGUACCCUAGAUACAAGCAGAAUCCUUGCCUGAUUUCAAGAUAGAAAUUGUAAUAUGGAAAGCAAACUCACAAAUAGCCAUCAAGACAACAAAACCAACAAAAUAACAAUAGUGUUGGUAAGUAUUUACAGUGUUGUGGUACACCAAUAUCAUUUCUGGAAGGCAUCAUUCCUCCACAUGCAUGGCAUUGUAGGUGGACAGUGUUAGGGUUGCACAGGAAUCCAGCAUAUUCAGCACCUGAUGUUUGUAAAUGAAUUAGUUAAAAUAUAUUACAAACAAAAAAAUCAAGCAGCAAAACAUCUCAGGACCAAAUAUUCACAAUUCAUAAGAAGCCAUUGAAUGAACCUUACACUUUGUCUAUAUCAUUACUUAAAAAAGAAUUUUCAUGAGAUUAUCUAAAUCAUGCAAGUAACAGUCAUCAAUACAUGAUAGCAACUUCUUGCAGUAAUACAACUAAUAAAUAAUGCAACAGAACAACCAGUUCAGAUUGAUGGUAAGUAAAUGUGUGCAUGCCAUAUUGCAGUCGAUCAAAUCAAUUAAGCAUACAAUUUCCGAACAUAUUAUUCUGUAGAUAGUUAAUAUUACCACAUUGAGGGCAUGGAAACUCCAAUUCUUCACUUUCCUCAUUUAGUCAUGAAUGUGCCCGUUUCCAACCAAUCAUGGAAAUCUUGUGAAUACAACUCGGUACCAGAAGUUGGUGGGAAAACUGAUUUAUUUAUCUCACACCCGACCAGAUAUUGCAUUUGCAGUCAACAUAGUAAGUCAAUUUUUGCACUCACACUAUGAAGUACAUCUUGAGGCAGUUAACACUUUUUAAAUUCAAUAAUAAUAAUAAUAAUAUUAAUUUUAGUUCUUUUCAUAUAUUAAUUUGUCUUUUGUGAUUUUUUUAAUAAAUAAUUUUUUUUUUUUUUUUUUUUGCUUUCCAAGAAUUUUUGUUGAUUUUUUCAUAAGGUCUAUAACUUUAAAUUAAACAAGCUUGAAUAUAUAUGUUUGUAAUAAUCUUAUAUUAUAUUAGUACUUAAACACAAUUGUAUGUCAUUUUUUUAUGUUUAAUAAUAAAUUUUCAAUAUUAAAGUUAGAAUCUAUAAGAAAAUCAACAAAAACAAUAUAUCAAUUUAGAAAUUAUGAAAUCUAAAAUUUAUAUAAAAAGGUAAAAAGAAAAAAUUAUUUAUGAAUAUUAAAUAAAUGAGAUUUAAAAUAACAUACUGGUUCUAUGAAAAUUUUAAAAAUAACUAAGAUAUGAAAAAAAAAAAAAAAAAACAUGUUAAGUGUAAAUUGGUGAUAAUUUAAAAUCGAGACAAGGAAAAGGACAAAAAUCGAUGCGUUGACCGCGUUGACCGUGCCGCUGCCGGUCGAUCGGGUGACUUACCGGUCGACCGGUUCAUUGGGGUGAGAAUUUAAAGCGCCUCCCGCGCCUCAGUUUCUCACUCAUUUCUUCUGGUGCUUCAAGCCUUGUGUCGUUCCAGCUCCCCUCAAGGGAUUUUAUACGCCAUUACAGCCUUCUGAGACGUACGGAUUGGAUUGUGGAGUCUAGGGUUUUGGAUUUUGGGACUCAGGGCUACGCAUUUGGGCGAUUUCCUCCUCAGUUGGCGCGUCAGAGCCUGCGUCAGUGUAUUCCCGCUCUUGAGGCCUUUCAGGUGUGUGUGCAUCCCUCUCUUCAGCCUCAUCUCCUUCAUCUCAGCCUUUCGGAUGGCACCUAGGAGAGAGUCAGCUGCUUCCAGGGCUCAGGGCAAGCGCCCUGCUGAGCCAUCUCAGCCAGAUCAGUCCGAGGCUCGCCGAAAGGCGAGGUACGACACCGCUCUUUUCGCUUUUGUCGAAGACUACCAGAGAUAUAAACAAAAAUUUGCCCAGAAGAAAGUUGUUCCAGGGAGAAGCAUCAAUUUCUCCCAGCUUAAGUACUUUGGAUUUGAGGAGAUUUUUGGACGGAUGAGAUGGCUGCCAGUGGUGACUAUUUCGGAGUCUAUCUUCCCGACUCUGAUUCGCACUUUCUACUCACGGGUGACCUACGGGGUUGGAGGACCGAUCACGUCGACUGUCAGAGGAGUUGAGAUCACCUUGAGUCCGGAGAGCAUUUGCCGGAUUUUCGAUAUACCAUCAGUUGGACUCAGGGUGUAUGAGUCCAAGGUGUGGCCCACGGUGCCGGGAUUUGAGCCCAGAGAGGCUAUUCAGAGGCUGUGUGGACUUGCCGAUGCCCAGGGGAUGGGCAAACCCUCUGCACAUAGCCUGACAGUGAUUAGCCGUAUCCUUCAUCACAUGGUGUGCACCAUUCUGUUGCCACGGGGCGGACAUCUAGACGAGGUAGCCUACCUCGAGGCUUUCAUAGUGGAUUCCAUUUUGACAGGGAGACGGAUUCAUGUCGGGUACCUGAUGAUGAUGCAUAUGAUAUCUUGCUGUGAGAGCAAGACCCGCGUCCUCCCCUAUGGUCGCUUCCUCACGAGAGUAUUCAAGGAUGCCGGGGUUGAUUUGAGCCGCGAGACAGAUUUCGAGGCCCCAACCACGUAUGACACAUAUGACGAGCAGUCUCUUGCCCGUAUGAAGUUUGAGAAGGCCCCUGAUGGCUCUUGGAUCAGGAGAGCUGAGCGACCACCGCCACAGGACCAGGGGUAGGGACAGCUGCAUCCUGUAGAUGAGGAGGAGGCCGAGAUUGGAGAGAUGGAGGGUGGGCUAGACCCUCAGAGGGACUUUGAGCAGAGCAUGCCUGAGUGCGACAUUCCUCCUCCUGAGCCGAUGAUAUCUAAGCCGGCAUACACAGCUGGACCAUCUGAGCCUUCUCACGCAGAGAUACCAUUUCAGGCACCUCACGCACCCGAUCAUGCACCUUGGAUGGAUUUAUCCGCUCAGAUCAGUUCUCUCGGGACUCGUAUGGAGGAGCUUGCAGUCGUCAAUGAUACUCGUUUCCACUCUAUGGAGGAUCGCAUAGAUGAGUAUCAGACCGGCUUCACCUCUCAGUUUGAGCAUCUCGAUCAGAGACUUGGGCAUCUUCAGGAGCGUAUGGAUCACCAACAUGAGGAGAUGAUGGCCUACCUUCGCUCAGUGUUUCCUCCACCUCCGCCUUGAUAUCUUCGAGACCCCCCCCCCCCCCCCCUCCCCUUCGUUUGUUUUUUAUGUUACCAAAGGGUCUAGGGGACAUGAGGACACAUGCAUGACAUUUCCAUAUCAUUAGUCUUGUGUUGUGUAUAUGCGAUAUUAUUAUAUAUGAUAUGAUAUUUUCGGAAUUCACAUUGUCUCCUACUGAAAUUUUGCAUGUCAUUUAAAAUUUUUGCUUUAAUUGAUCCAUGUUUGGAUUGAGGGGGAGAUUUCUUCUCUCCUAGAUAAGGAAGGUUUGUCAUCAUCAAAUAGGGGGAGAUUGUUAGCCGAAGGGUGCCCCUAAUCGGGUUUUGAUGAUAACAAACCAUGGUUAAGUGAUUAAUUGUUUUAAAUUCUCAGGUAUAAACUCGAAAAUUCAUCAAAGGACUAAAUGGAUACAUGAUCGAGACGCUUCAAAGACUUGAGAUCAUAGGAAAUAAAUGUAGGAUGAUAGCACGAGUGCACUUAGGAUGUUCAUACCUUUUCAUGCAUCUUAGAAAACUCGGUUUAUUCUUUAAAACUUGAUUUUCUUUAAAACCAGAUUUUUAUCAAACAUACCUUAGGAAAAUUGAUUAUAAAUUGGUAUAUUAAUUCACCUAAAGACCUUGCCUAAGUAGUACAAAAGAAAGGAAUUUUCAAAAGGAAGGUUUUUGGGGUAAAAAUGCUCAACCGGUCGACUCUAUGUAUCAGCCGGUCGACCGGUUUAUCAUGUCCGGUCCAUACCGGUCGAGGAGUGUCAUAAACACACUCUCUCAUCUAAUGGUUUAGCCUGUCAGCAGCUAGUGUCAGCUGCACCAUCAAGUCAUCCAUCCUGUCUUUCUUUCCCCUAAACUUGGAAGUAUUACAGAGUUGAGAGUUUACAUAUUUUGAGAGCCUCGCUGUAAGUCACUAUAAACUAAUUCUUUUCUCCAUAGCUAUUGAUCUAAUACUCUGAAACCUAGACAUAUGACUCAGCCUCAAAUCUAGAUGUUUUAGGUCACCCCUCCAUGGAGGGCAGGAAAAUAUUCUAGGUACAUUAUCCCAGGGCAUAGUUGUGACCACACUGAUCAUUAUGCGAGAAGUCGUAUUAGAGUUGUCAUUUGACAUAAAGUGAGGAUACUUUAGUAUCAAAAUUAUUCAUUUUUUUCGGCAAUACCUGGCAUUAGCACUUUCAUUUUGUGAAAUGGCAUGAUUUAAGACACUUUCUGGAGUCACUAAUUGCAGAAGAGUUAAAAGUCCUUUGUCUCAUGGUUUGGCAUGGGAGGGUUAGGUUUCAACUUAGACACUUAAAAGAACCGUGUUGGUUUCCUGAAUUUCAACAAGAAAACACAUUAUACGAACUCAAAUAAUGUGGCAUAACACAACAAAGUAGUGUAAGUCCAGCAGAAAAAACAAGAAAAAAGGACAUGAAAGCCAUUUAUGUAUCUCUCCCAUAUCACUCACUGCACUGCACCUCUACUAACACUAUCUCUUGUGGCCCUUGCUUUGCCUUUCCCUAGCAACAACUUAAUGCCCACAUUUUGGUAAAGUUUGUGAGUAGAGCUACUAAUAUUCUCAAAAACUUUUCAUGGAUUAGUAGUGAAGUUCUUCAGUACUUAAUUUGUUGUAUAAAAUUUAUAUUUUAGUAAAAUACCCGAACUUGUUUAAUUGUGAAAAUCCAAAAUCAAUCAAAUUAAUAUAUUAAUACUAACGGGUCUUUCGUAAAACUUAAGACAUUUCAGUAAUUAAUUUACUUUAUCAAAUUUAAGGUUUAAUAAAGUUCAGAUAUCGAAGAAUAAAAAAACAUGGUACUAAGUUUUCUUUUUUUUAAAAAUAAAAUAAACAAAUACAUGUUAAAUUAAAGUUCUCUAUUCACAACAACCUAGGACACAUAUUCUAGAUAUUUCUGUUUUUAGUAAAAAAUCUCAUCUCUUGCAAAACCACAAACCUGAUGCAACAGCAACAUUAUUGAAAAUAACAAAAAAGCAAUGGUUAUUAAAUCAGAAAUGAAAAGGAAAAUAUUAAGGUUCACAUGAUCUGUAAUUAACAGAGAGGGGUUUAUGCUCAUUCCUAUAUAUACCUAAAUCCACAUGGAUCAAAGUUAGGCCAGACGUUGUCAUACUGAAAAUAAAUGUAAAGAUAAAGAACUACGACCAUAGAGUUUGUUUGGAAAUGAAAGAAUGGCAACUUCCCUUUUCUUGAUGAUUGGAGGAACAAUGGUCAUUUCUGCAUUUUUUGAUUCUCUGAUAGUUACCAACCGGUCGACAAAAUGCAUCAACCGGUACCAAGUUGUUUUGCUACCGGUAGCAACUGAUCAGUUUGGGUGGUGCAUGCAGAAAUGACCAGUGUCUACCGGUCGAGUGCACAGAUCAACCGGUUGACAUUUACCGGUCGACCGGUUAAAUAUUGAUACACUCGGGUGCGAUAUGCUUGCCUGCUUGCAUAAAUUAUCGUACUAAGUUUUAGCCCUCUUGUUCCUUAUUAACGCCAUUCCUGAUUUACUAUUUUAAAUACAUUUUUUGCACAAUUAGAUCAUCUCAAAUUAAUUUGUGUAACUUGUGAAUUUAUGGUAUGGAAGUUCCUUAAAGGAGACUUCAGAUUCACCUCCCCUUGUUGCUGCUGCGUCUAUUGGGCUCAUGGGCCUCGUUGGUGUAAAUGUGGACAAAUUUGUGGAAUUUUUGGGAAUGUUGUAGAAAUUUGGUAUGUGGGGUGUUGACGAAUCUUUGGGCUUUUAUUCCAAUAAAUGCAUGAGAUUGAUUUUGAUCCAUGAUUAUAUAAAGAGGGAUCCAAGCAUAGCAUUGGUUAUGGUUUUCAACUAAUCAAGAUAUUUAUAGAAAGAGAUGUAUAAAUUUUCUUGUCGUAUUUUAUAAAUUUGGUAACUUCAUUUUUUGGAACUGGUGCCACUCGGCUUGUGUAUAUAGUACAAAGACCUUUGCAUGCCUGAAGUUAAAAUUGAAUAGAUUCAUAUUAGUCCACUUAGAACACUAUCAGCAACAUGGGUACUAAUAAUAUCAAAUCAGCAAUUUCUCCAGUAACAGAGAAUGGCAAUGUGUGUGUGUGUGUGUUUGUGUGUGUGUGAGAGAGAGAGAGAGAGAUAGAGAGAGAGGACACCUCAUUAAUGUCACACUGCUUAUCAGCUUCAAUAUAAAUACAACCCUUUACAUGAUCAACUAAAAAAACAGAUAUUAUCUGCAGCUUAGUUCCUAGUGACUGCAAGUCAACGUAAUUAUUCAUAAGACAGAAAGCUGAAAGCCUCUCCCGUCCAACCUACAGCCAAGAUAUUCUUCAGGUCAACUCAACAAAUGAAAGGAGCGUAAAAGGGGAGGGAUUGCUCAAGGCAUUCCAAAUUCAGAUCUCAAAUUAUUAAACAUUGUACCAUGCACUUGACUUUCCAGAUCGUUGGAUCCUUAAUAGAAGGGAUAAGCGAGUUUCUGUUUCACUGAUCUUUUCGUCUCAUAAUCAUCUUCAGCAUAGGUAACAAAUUUAGAACCAUCCUUGUAACAUUCUUCUACCAUCUUUUCAAGAUCUUCCUCACUCAGCUCCUUUUCAUUGGGAAAAAAUGGAAGGUUAUGGGCUUUUCCAGCUUCGUUCUUAACUUUUUGGCCUGUAUUGAAUUAAUCCGCUUCAAAAUCUGUUCCCAAAGACGGAAAAACAGAAUUAUCAAUCUAUAUAACACAUUGAUAGGAUGAAGUAAUGCAAGAUAAAUUAUCAAUCUUAACUUUUAGCCCUGUAUUGAAUUCAUCCUCCAAAAAAUAUGUUCCCAAAGACGAAAAAACAGAAUUAUCAAUCUAUAUAACACAUUGGUAGGAUGAAGUAAUGCAAGAUAAACCAAAAUUAUCCCCUACCGUAACAACGAAACAUGAUGCCUAAACAUCACCACAUCCACUAAUUUUUAUUUUUUAUAUAAGUAAUAAAUUUUCUUACCAAAUGCGUAAAAAGAGAGCAAGAGUAUCAGCACAUCCAUUAAUAUAAUCAAUGGACUCUUACCAAAUGCGUAAAAUAUGCUUGUGUAUAAAAAUUCAGACUAGCCAGCUACAAUUUACAUCUUCCAUGGGUUUUCAUUUUUCCUCGACCAGUACUCGACCGGACGCCAUAAGCCAGUCGACCGAUCCAUCAACAGGUUGACCGGUUGAUCUAAUCCUCGACCGGUUGAGUUUUUUUGGCCUCGAAAAACCUAUUUUCUAAUUCCUUUCUUUUCUAAAACUUAUGGAAGGUCUUUAGGUGAGUUAAUAUGCGAAUUUUGAAUCAAUUUGCCUAAGGUCUAUUUGAUAAAACUCGGGUUUUAAAGAAAAUCAAGUUUUAAAUAAAAAACCGAGUUUUCUAAGGUGCAUGAAAAGGUAUGAACAUCCUAAGUGCACUCAUGCUAUCAUCUUACAUUCAUUUCCUAUGAUGUCAAGUAUUCCAAUCGUCUCGAUAUUGUAUCCAUUUGGUCCUUUGAUGAAUUUCGUAGUUAAUACUUGAGAUUCUUAAACAUUAAACCAAUUAGUUACUUAACCAUAGUUUGUUAUCAUCGAAACCCGAUUAGGAGAACCCUUGGGCUAACAAGCUCCCUCUAUUUGAUGAUGACAAACCUUGGUUAUCUAGGAUAGAAAGAAAUCUCCCCCUCAAACCAAUCAUGGAUCAAUCAAAUGAUAAGCAAUGUAAAACACGAAGAAUCAAUUGAUAAAAAUAUCAUAUCAUAUCAUAUAUAUAUGGAAAUCUCACAUGUACAAUAAGAUAGAUAUGACAUUGAUAACAAUGACAUGCAUGAGAGACUAAUAGAUCCUAUAGAUCGUACAUCCUAUAAAUAUCUCCCCCUUUGGCAACAUAAAAAAGAAACGAAGGGGGAUCCCAAACACACUCAUGGCUGAGGAGGUGGUGGUGGAAACACAGAACGUAUGUAAGCCAUCAUCUCCUCGUCAACGUUAUUAUCUUUGUAAAAAAGGGGAAAAAAAUAAUAAUUUGAUAUUAUUAUUGUAACAUGUACAAAAUUAAAUAAAAUGAAGUUAUUAAAUAAAUUAAUUUAAACUAUAAAUAUUAUAAAAAUAAUAAAUUGGAUUUAGAUUAGGUUUGGGUUGUUCGAAUUUUUAUUUGUAUUUCACCUUAAUUAAGUUUGGGGAAAAAAAAUUGUACCCUAAGAUUAUAAAUAAUUGUCGAACCUUAUCCAAAAAAAGGUUGGCUUAAGUCAUGACAACUUGCCUAAAUUGCACCUCCUAAUUCCGAUUAUCCAAAAAAGACUUGAUGGCCUAUUGAAGAAAAAGGAUCAAAUCUCAAUAACCCCUUAAAUGAGGAUUCAACAUAAGAUCAACAUUUUUUAAACAAGUAAAUUUUGGAACGACUUUGUGGGAUUGAAAGAAACUAACAAAAACCAACAAAGGUACAAAAACUGAUACAUAUGGUGGUAGCAUAAGGUUAUAUAAUUCAUUAGUUACUUCAAAUGCAAUUAUUAUGAUCUGUGCGAACGGUCAUUUAUUAUUUUAUUCAUGUUCGUUAUGUCCAUGUUGAAUUGUGUUAUUUAACUAAAAAUUGCAUCAAAUGCAUUGGAAGCCUAUGUCUAUACAUGAUAAGAUUUGGUUUUUUAAGGAUCACAAGGUUCGUUUGGUGUUUGAUGUCAGCUUGUCUGUGGGUAAGCCUAUGUCUUGAUCUAUGUUGUUGGGAAUAGUAACAAAGAGAAGUCAUAUGUCAUGAUCUAAUCGCCAUAUCACAUACCUAAAUGAAAACAAAAUGAAUUUUAUUAACCGGUCGACCGGUUAACUUCUGCCGGAUGCGUACUUUUCUCAACCGGUAGCCACUGGCCCUUUUGGUUGCUGGAUUCUCAAAUGGACAGUGGCUACCGGUUGAGAAAAGUAAGAAACCGGUAGAAGAUAACCGGUCGACCGAUUAACAUUUCCUUGUAUAAGUUGUAAUUUGUUUGGAUUCCCCUAUAGAUUUGUGUAUUGAUAGGCCAUUUGGUAUUUUGCUACCUGUAAUUGCUCUUUCUUUGAAGGGACAUCAUUGUGGUAAACGAACAUCCAUAUAAACCGACCUUUAGUUGCGUGCAAGCGGGUAUAUAUUUUAUGUGAAGGUGCGUUAAUAAUAGAGGUCGAAGUGAUUAUUAAUAAUUUAAACUAUAAAUANNNNNNNNNNNNNNNNNNNNNNNNNNNNNNNNNNNNNNNNNNNNNNNNNNNNNNNNNNNNNNNNNNNNNNNNNNNNNNNNNNNNNNNNNNNNNNNNNNNNUAAACUAUAAAUAUUAUAAAAAUAUUAAAUUGGAUUUUGAAUCCUCACAUUCUUCGUACCCUCCCAAUUCUCCAAAAAUACUAAAAAAUUCAAAAAUAUUAAAAAAUUAACAAGGGUGCGAGGAAUGUGAGGAAUCUUCACAUUCUUCGUACCCUCCCAAUUCUGCACUUAUUUGGACUUUUUAAAAAUAUCUGGGGCAUCAUAUGGCUUGUAUGUUGUUUAAGUUGGUCCGUUACACUUAGAAGGUGGUCAAAUGACAUCCGGAAAAAUCGAAAUCCAAAAAUACUAAAAAAUUCACAAGGGUACGAAGAAUGUGAGGAAUCCUCACAUUCUUCGUACCCUCCCAAUUCUCCACUUCUUUGGACUUUUUAAAAAUAUUUGGGGCAUCAUAUGGCUUGGAUGUUGUUUAAGUUGGUCCGUUACACUUAGAAGGUGGUCAAAUGACAUCCGGAAAAAUCGAAAUCAAAAAAUACUAAAAAAUUCACAAGGGUACGAAGAAUGUGAGGAAUCCUCACAUUCUUCGUACCCUCCCAAUUCUCCACUUCUUUGGACUUUUUAAAAAUAUUUGGGGCAUCAUAUGGCUUGGAUGUUGUUUAAGUUGGUCCGUUACACUUAGAAGGUGGUCAAAUGACAUCCGGAAAAAUCGAAAUCAAAAAAUACUAAAAAAUUCACUACAUUUUGAGGGUGUGAAAUGGAUCGUAAAAUUCAAAGUGAAAGUUUACCGAACAAAUAUGUGAGGGGUUUAAACUUUUUUGGAUUUAAUAUGGCUUGGAUAUUGUUUAAAUCAGUUCAUUAUACUUAGGAGGUGGUCAAAUGAUUUCCAGAAAAAUCCAAAUCUAAACAUACUCAAAAAAUUCUGUACAUUUUGAGGGUGUGAAAUGGAUCGUAAAAUUCAAAGUGGAAGUUUACCGAAAAAAUAUGUGAGGGGUUUGGAUUUCCAUAUUGUUAGUAAUUAUACCUUUUUUGUAUUUUCAAUAUUUCAACCAAUUUUUUUUGAAAAGCUAAGAAAUCUCAAUUAAUAAUUAGUACACAACUAAUUUAAUUUUAAUUUGAUAUAUAUUUUAUAAAAUUUAGUUCUAGUUUUCCUAUUUUUUUAAGUUCAUAAACCAAUUAUAUUGCUUUUCACACUUCAAAUAUUAGUCAAAUUUUUUUCAACAAAUUAUUUGAUGUUAAAAUAAAAUAAAUUUACUUUUCCUUAAUUUCUAAAUUAUAUCACCAAAUUCUUUAUAAUUUUUUUUAUUUUAAAUUUAAUUUUUAUGUGGGGUUUAAUCACUUUAUAGUACAAAAAUAAAUAAACUGUAAUUUAUUUUUUCAAAAUUUUCUUUAUUUAUUAUUUGAUGUUAAAAUAAAUUAAAUUUACUUUUCCUUAAUUUCUAAAUUAUAUCACCAAAUUCUUUAUAAUUUUUUUUAUUUUAAAUUUAAUUUUUAUGUGGGGUUUAAUCACUUUAUAGUACAAAAAUAAAUAAACUGUAAUUUAUUUUUUCAAAAUUUUCUUUAUUUAUUAUUUGAUGUUANNNNNNNNNNNNNNNNNNNNNNNNNNNNNNNNNNNNNNNNNNNNNNNNNNNNNNNNNNNNNNNNNNNNNNNNNNNNNNNNNNNNNNNNNNNNNNNNNNNNUUCAUAAACCAAUUAUAUUGCUUAUCACACUUCAAAUAUUAGUCAAAUUUUUCUCAACAAAUUAUUUGAUGUUAAAAUAAAUUAAAUUUACUUUUCCUUAAUUUCUAAAUUAUAUCACCAAAUUCUUUAUAAUUUUUUUUUAUUUUAAAUUUAAUUUUUAUGUGGGGUUUAAUCACUUUAUAGUACAAAAAUAAAUAAACUGUAAUUUAUUUUUUCAAAAUUUUCUUUAUUUAUUAUUUGAUGUUAAAAUAAAAUAAAUUUACUUUUCCUUAAUUUCUAAAUUAUAUCACCAAAUUCUUUAUAAUUUUUUUUAUUUUAAAUUUAAUUUUUAUGUGGGGUUUAAUCACUUUAUAGUACAAAAAUAAAUAAACUGUAAUUUAUUUUUUCAAAAUUUUCUUUAUUUAUUAUUUGAUGUUAAAAUAAAAUAAAUUUACUUUUCCUUAAUUUCUAAAUUAUAUCACCAAAUUCUUUAUAAUUUUUUUUAUUUUAAAUUUAAUUUUUAUGUGGGGUUUAAUCACUUUAUAGUACAAAAAUAAAUAAACUGUAAUUUAUUUUUUCAAAAUUUUCUUUAUUUAUUAUUUGAUGUUAAAAUAAAUUAAAUUUACUUUUCCUUAAUUUCUAAAUUAUAUCACCAAAUUCUUUAUAAUUUUUUUUAUUUUAAAUUUAAUUUUUAUGUGGGGUUUAAUCACUUUAUAGUACAAAAAUAAAUAAACUGUAAUUUAUUUUUUCAAAAUUUUCUUUAUUUAUUAUUUGAUGUUAAAAUAAAUUAAAUUUACUUUUCCUUAAUUUCUAAAUUAUAUCACCAAAUUCUUUAUAAUUUUUUUUAUUUUAAAUUUAAUUUUUAUGUGGGGUUUAAUCACUUUAUAGUACAAAAAUAAAUAAACUGUAAUUUAUUUUUUCAAAAUUUUCUUUAUUUAUUAUUUGAUGUUAAAAUAAAAUAAAUUUACUUUUCCUUAAUUUCUAAAUUAUAUCACCAAAUUCUUUAUAAUUUUUUUUAUUUUAAAUUUAAUUUUUAUGUGGGGUUUAAUCACUUUAUAGUACAAAAAUAAAUAAACUGUAAUUUAUUUUUUCAAAAUUUUCUUUAUUUAUUAUUUGAUGUUAAAAUAAAUUAAAUUUACUUUUCCUUAAUUUCUAAAUUAUAUCACCAAAUUCUUUAUAAUUUUUUUAUUUAUUUUAAAUUUAAUUUUUAUGUGGGGUUUAAUCACUAUGUAGUACAAAAAUAAAUAAACUGUAAUUUAUUUUUUCAAAAUUUUCUUUAUUUUUCUGUUUCAUAAAAAAAAAUUCCUAAACAAAAUAAUUACAUUAAACAAAUUUAUAAUUGGUUAAUGUAAUAAAUGUAACAAUGUGUGUUGCAUGAAAUUAUUUCCCAUGGCAACCGGUUGGGUGACUUGAAGAACAGGUUUUGUUUUUUUUUUCUUUUUUAAAUGCCAUGUGUCUCUACCCUAUUAGCCCAAAAAAAGUUGGUAUGGUACCGAAAAGUGCUUUUCGGUACCGUAGCAAGACCCUAAAAAAUAACAUAAAUAUAUUUCAUGGAGUGGACCAGUGUGUACUUAGUUGACCAGGACUGACGACAGCAAUGACGUGGAAUGAUCAAAGCAAUGACCUCUCGUGGAAGCAACCAGAGCAUUGGAUGCUCCAUAACCAAACUUUACUUCACUCGCAAACUUGUGGCACAAGCUCAUUAGUUUUAGUUCUAUUAUUUACUAGUAAAAUUAAAAUUUAAUAAGUUUUUAAAAAUAAAUAAAUGUGCUGAUUUUUUUUUAAUGCAGAUAUUAUAUAUAUAAAAGCUAAAUUGCUUUCUAUUUGAUAAUAUUUUUGGAUUUAAAUAUGAUAUUAAUUUUAAAAUUAAAUUAUUUUUGUACAAAUGAUAAAAAUACAGGAAUAUGUCAACCGACAGUUUUAAUUUUUUUUUUUAAAAAAGUGAUUACAUUAAAAUGAGAUUUGAUAAAUAAAUUCUAGACUGAUAAAAACCAUAUAGAAAAACUUAAAAUAUUGGAAUUCUGGAAUUCUGGAGAAAGAAAGAAAACUGAGAUAAUGAUAUAAUAUGGAAGGAAAGUGCAUGCUGAGAUAAGGAAUGAGCAUCACCACCUCCUAGAAAUUUCCAAGGUUUUAACCCACUCUCUGAGAUUUGCUAUAAAUACUUGACAAUUUCCCUUGGGUUGUUCAUCAAUACUUGAGUCUGAAUCUUAUUGAUCACAGUAGGAGCAAUGGCAGACGAGAUUAUCUUGUUGGAUUUCUGGCCUAGCAUGUUUGGUAUGAGGGUCAGACUUGCCCUGUCAGAGAAGGGCCUCAAGUAUGAAUAUAAAGAGGAGGACCUUAGGAACAAGAGCCCUCUGCUUCUUGAGAUGAAUCCAGUUCAUAAGAAAAUCCCGGUUCUGAUCCACAAUGGAAAGCCCAUUUGUGAGUCUCUGUUAAUAGUUCAGUAUAUUGAUGAGGUUUGGCACGAUAAAUCUCCGCUUUUGCCUAGUGACCCAUACCAGAGAGCCCAGGCCAGGUUCUGGGCGGACUACGUAGACAAGAAGGUAUGUCUUUGCUGUUGAUUUAAAGCCUUUUUUUUCCAUUGAUUCAUGGCGAUUGGCUCAGAUUUUGAUAAUGAUGAGGGAUUUGUCCAAAAUGCUGGGUUCUUCUUCACACAUUCUCUUCUGACAUUAAGUUUUGUGGGCCUUGGGGUCUCAAACUAGAACUUUACUGAUUCUCUUUGCUGCGUGUGCAACAAGACUCCACUUUGCAUUUCUGAUGUGGGUUUUCAGUUCUUUGUUAUAUAUGGGUUUUCAUUUCUUUGUUCUGCUGAAUCUGAAGUCCGUUCUUUCCACCCAAAAAAGCAGAUCUCAAGAAUGCCUUUUCCCUCAAGAAAGGGGAUCCAAAAACCAGUUUUUACAGCACAGUGUUUGGUUUUUUUUUGUUAUCCUGAUGUUCAACAUUUUGCAGAGCAGUUCUUUUAAUACAUGUUUUGUUGCUUUGAUCUCUUUCUUCUCAUUUUCUAAAACCCACAUUGAGGGGAAAAGCUUUAGCAAAUGAUACAUUCUUUCAACUGAUUCUGAUAUUUUUCUGCCACCGGCCCUUCAUUUAAUAUGUUCCUAGUAUAUGAGAUUUCUAUGCUGAAGGGUCCUUAAUAAACUUGUCCAACUAUACAGAAAGUUGAAACUUGAUGAAAUGCUCCAAAAAAAUAACCCUUUUCUCUCUUUGACUUUAUUGUUUUCCACAGCUCUAUGAACUUGGAAGGAAGAUAUGGUCAACCAAAGGAGAAGAGCAGGAAACAGCCAAGAAGGAAUUCAUAGAGUGCCUCAAGCUUCUGGAAGGAGAGCUUGGAGAGAAGCCUUACUUCGGCGGUGAAAAAAUUGGGUUUGUGGAUGUGGCUCUGGUGACCUUCUCUUGCUGGUUUCAUGCAUAUGAGAGCUUUGGAAACUUCAGCAUAGAGGCGGAGUGUCCCAAGUUGAUAGCUUGGACCAAGAGGUGCAUGGAAAAGGAGAGCGUGUCGUCUUCUCUGGAAGACCCACACAAGGUCCAUGGCUUUGUUAUGGGGAUGAGAAAGAAGCUUGGCAUAGAAUAACUAUUUUGUAGUGUUGCUGUGGUAAUAUUAGAUAUAUGUGAGUGUUUGGCUGUUUGCUUAAGUUUUUGCUUUGAAAUUGUAUGGUUACUAUUUGCAGUUGAAACCCCUUUUGGAGGGUUGGUGGGUUUGCUGGAAAGAAAUGUUUUGAAUUUGUUUUCAUUUGUUUUGGACUGGACUAGAGAGGUGUUCUUUGUAUUCCAUCAUUUCGUGUCAUAAACAAGUAUUAACACAAGUUGGAUAAGGCAUGCCUCUGGCCCUUUAUGGUAACGUACAAAGAUAUCAUGGGCCUACAAAGAUAUCAUGGGCUACAGAAUAGGUUAGGGCCCGCUUUUUAAAUCACUUUUUUUAACUAAUAUGUUUGGCAAAAGAUGUUCUUCAAUAAUUUAAUUCAUCUUCCUUGUCGGUCAUUUUAAGUAACAAGAAAAUGAAAAAGAAAUAAGAGAAAAGUUCAAUCACGUUCCAUAAUGUUUGUUUUUGAAAAUUGCUUUUAUGUUAAACAAACAAAAAUAAUUUUUUAAAAUUUUAUAAAAUUUUAUAAAAUAAGGAUGUUUGACAAGUUAUUUUGAAAUUGGUUUUUCUUUUAAAAAAAAAUAAUUUUUCUAUGUUGAUUUUGUAAAAAUAUUCUAAAUUUAAUUAAUAGAAAUUUAAUUGAGGUCUUAUAAAAAAUGAAAUUAGUUUUAAAUUAUAAAUAAAUUAAAAAUAGUAUAAUAUAUCAGCGUGGACCUAUUUUUUUUACGUGCGUCCUCACUCGACGAUGAGACUCGUUUUUUAUUUAUUUGGUGAAAAAUAUGAUUUUUAGAAAAAGAUUUGAAGUCCUCAUUGAUUUUUGUUUUAUUUUUCAAGGGAAAGACAAAAUAAAAAAUAAAAACCCUAAAUAUGAUUUCUGAAGGAAAAAUAGGUUUGUGAAAAAUCGAGUUUGGGUUUGGGGAUCAAGUUACUUAUUAGGAAGGUAUGGUAAUGAGUUAUAACACCCCUCUAAGCUCGUUUAUGUACGACCUCUACUAAAUGAAUUAAGGAAAUUGUGACAAUUAAUUAAUUAAUUAUAGAUACCAAGAAAAAUAAUCAUGUAAAUGAGUAUGUACAAGUCAAGGUGAAAAUUAAUAUACACAAAAAUAAUGAUGAAAUCUAAUUACAAGAAUACACAAAAUAAAUAACAAAAGAAUUAUGCAAAAAUAAUUUAUUGAACUAAAUAAAAAAUAUUAAAAAAAUAGUUUUCAAGAAAUUUCGAAGGAUUUUAUUAAAAAUGAUUUUUAAUUAAUGAUUUUAAUUUUUUUUAUUUACAAAAAAGAAGUUUCAAUUUAUUUUCAAUUAAUGAUUUGAUUCAAUUUCAUUUGUAUUUAAUUUUUUUUAAAAAAAAAGUUAUUUGCACUUAUUAUAUCAAAAGAAUUUAUUACAAAAUUUCAAUUUGGUAAUAAAAAUGAUUUUUACUUGCUUUUACAAAAAAAAUUACAAUUUUAUUUACGAAAGUAUUUCACUUUGUUUUAAUUUGAGAAAAGUGACUUAUACAAAUUAUUAAAAAGAAUAUAACUUUAUUUGCAAAAGAAUUUUUAAUUAAAAAUUAAUUUUUGGGACAACUUUAUUUACAAAAUAAUGUUUGGACAAUUUUUAUUAAACAAAUAAAUUUUUGGACAAUUAUUAUUAAAAAUAAUUUUUCAAAUUCUAUUAAAAACAAUUUUUUUGGAUUUUUCUAAAAGCAUUUUUUUGAAUUUUUAUUAAUAAAAAAAACUUUCUUUUAUUAAAAAGAAUAUUUUAAAAUUAUUAUUUUAUUAGAAUAUAUUUACUAAAUUAUUCCUCUUAUUUAAAUGACAAUUUUGAUUUGUUAAAUAUUUAAUUCUGUAUAUACUCAAUAAAUAUAUACAAACUAAUAUUUACAAGAACUAAUAGAAAUAAAAUCAAACAGAAGUGAGCAAUAAAACGUGUACCCAAAUAAGGUUACAACAAGCUUAAUGUCUCUCUACAACUUUUUUAUUCUUACUUUCUUCCAUGAAAUUUUGUGCUUCACGUGUUAUAAAUUUGUACUCAGCCAAUAGAAUUGCAGAAUAGGCCCAUGCAAAAACAAAAAUAGUUCAAAUGUAAAUAUCCAAAGGUGUACAAAAUCCUUAACAAAUAUUCAAACUCAAAUUCAAAUUUCAAAUUAGUUCGAUAAAUCUUGUCAAUCAAAAUGGACACAAAUUAACAAAUAUAACCUAACAAAAACAUCUCACAUGCUAUAAACCUUAAUCCAAAAAUUUCAAAUUAAUAACCAAAAUACAACACAAUUAGCCAAGCCCAAAAUAUCACAAAAUAAAAUAAAUUCAAUUAGGCCUAAAUUUAAUAUUUCAUAAUCCAAGCCUAAUUUAAUAUACACCAUAAUUGUCCCACAUCCAAAUUAAAUAGUUCAAAUUGGUGAAGCUCAUAUCAAAUAUUCAAGUCAUCAAUCAAAUUUCACCCACAUUGUGGACCCAAAAUCCAUACCUAUAUUAUGGGUCCAAAAUUCAUAUCAAUUAACAAGCCCACAUUAAUAAUACACAUGACCAAAGAAAAUAAUUUCCCAAGCCCAAUCCAAUAAGCCCAAAUAAAUAACAUUAGAUUCAAGUCAAAAUCAAUUACUAUGCAAACAAAAAUAAAAAAAUAAAGAUAAAAAAAUGAAAAUAAAAUAAAGUAAAAAGGAAAUUUACCCUUUUUUUUUAUAACUAUGGGUGGUAGGAUUGCUAGUCGGCAGUGACUGGCAGGUAAUGGCGGGUGGUGGCGGGCAGUGGUUGUCGGUAGUGGUGGGUGGUGGUUGGCCGGUAGUGGCCGUGGAGUGUGGGGAAGGGAAAAGGAAAGAAAAAGGAAGAGAAAAAAAAAUGAAGGAAGAUGGGGAGCGUGUGACAGUGGGGGUUUGUGGAAAAUGGCAGUGUAGAGAGAAGGACUAUGAGAAGAAGAAAAAAAAAAUGGAAGAGAAAAUGGGGACCAUCGUGUGUGAUAGUUGGGGGGAAGAAAAAAAAAAGAAAAAAGGAAGGGAGGAGAUGGGAGAGUUGACCGUGUUUGGUGUGUGGGUCGUGGAGCGGUUGUUGUGUUGGAAGGGAGCCUGAAGAAGAAAUGAUGGAGGAAAAAAAAGUGAAGAGAGGAACGUAGAGAAAGAUGAUAAAAAAAAAAAAAAAAAAAAAAAAACUUGGAGGGGGUAUGGGGAGUGGCUUAGACAUGUAGGAGAAGGAAAUGGGUAAGGGAAGUAGGUGGAGUGGGUAGAAUGAGGGGAAAGAGGAAGAGAGAAGAGAGAAGAGAGUGAAAAUAAAUAAAAUUAAAUUAAAAAUAAAAAUAUAAUAAUAAUAAUAAUAAUAAUAAUAAAUAAAUAAAUAAAUAAAUAAAAAUAAUAAUAAAAAUAAUAAUAAAAAUAAUUUAUAAAAUAAUAAAAACUAAGAAUUAAAGGGUGUAAGUGGGCUAAACAAUUAAGAUGUAAUCAAAAUUUAAAUCUAAGGAUAAAAUUGAGCUCAAUAUCAAUGUAAAAAUAAAAUUAGGACAAAUUUUGGGGUCUACAAUCGGUUUUCAUAUAUUAUUUCUUAUGGUGAUUAGAUCUAUUUACUAGGUUGUAACUUAAAAAAAAAAAAAAAAAACCUAUUAGUAAAUUCAAUGUUACUUGAUUUGAAGUUUAUUCUUUAAUAAAAAAAUUUAUAAAAAUAUAAGUAUGUAUAGAAAAAAAGUAGACUCAUUAAAACCCAAUUUUUAUCCAUAAAUUUUUAAUAUUAACCACUAUUUAAGUUUUAAGUUAUUUAAAAAAAUUACUAAACUCAUUAAUUAAUUUAAUGUAUUAAGUUUUGUUUAAUUUGGAUUUUAUUUGUCUAGUGAAAUAAAUAAAUAAAAAAUAUAGUUUCAUGUAGAAGAGAAACAAUAGAGUCAUUGUAGAUUAGAACUAGAAGUUAUAAAAAAUAUGUAAAAUAUAUAUAAUUAUAUAGCUGGAGUUUAUAUUAUAAAUUAUAAAGUUAAAAAAAAUAUAAAAAACUACCUUCAAUGUAAUUUCUAAUUUCUUUUAAUUAUAAUGUAUAAUCAAAAGUUAGACAAAACAAAAUUGUACACUCAUAAGUUAAAUAAUGAAUAUUUCAUAGCCUCAAAGGUGUAUACAAUUUUACACAUUUUUGUUAUGAUAAAAAUAAUCCAUAGCCAAAAACUAUGAAAGCGAUCAAUUCGUAAUUUUUAUUUUGUUAAUAUUACAUGAUGUUCAUGCAUUUUUUUAAACCAUAUUUAUAAUAAUCCUAUAGCGAUAAAAUAUAACAAAAUCUUAAAUCGUUAUAGUUUUAUUAUAGAAUAUUAACUGGAUAAAUAUUGUUAGAUAAUUUAAUUAAUUUAUUUUAAUAAAUUAAAAUAUUAUUCUAAUAAAAUUAUUUCAAAUAUUAUUCUAAUUUAAAAAUUACUAGACUGUUAAGUCUUGUUUAAUUUUGAGUUCAUUUAUAUAGUAAAAUAAAAUUGGAAAAUAUGAUUUCAUGUAGAAGAAAAAUAAUAGAGUUGUUAUAGACUAAUUUUCAUCCAUAAAUUUUUAAUAUUAAUUACAUCAUUAUUUGAGUUUUAAGUUAUUUCUAGAAAUUACUAAAUUUAUUAAUGAAUUCAACACAUUAAGUUUGGUAUAAUUUUAAGUUUAUUUGUCCAAUGAAACAAAAUUGGAAACAAUAAAGUCAUUCAAGUUCAAUUUUUGUCCAUAAAUUUAUGGUAUUAAUUGGAUCACUAUUUGCAUUGCAAUUUAUUUUUAAGAAUUACUUAGACUUGUUAAUAAAUUCAACGCAUUAAGUCAUACUUGAUUUGGUGAUUAUUUACUAAGUGAAAAAAAUUGUAAAAAUAUGAUUAUAUGCAAAGAAAAAACUAGCCAAGACAUUUAAAUGAAUUUUGGUGUAUGAUAUUCUAAUGUUAGUGAGUUUCAUGACUUUAUAGUACUAACUAAAUCAAUUUUUGACUUUUAAGUUAUUUUUAAAAAUUAGUAAAUUUUAUGUAUAAAGUAUAAUUUGAUUUAGAAUUUAUUUUAUCAAUGAAAAUUUUCUUAAAUUAAAUGAAAUUCAUUAAAACACAUGUAAUUUAAAAGAAUAUUAUAUUUGAAGAUUUUUAGUAUCGGUAUUAGAUCGUAGAAAGAGGUAAAGAAGAAUGAUAUCAUCUUCAAUCUUAUUUGCUUUUUAUAGUUUUUUUAAAUUCCUCUAUAUUUUUCUUUUGCUUUUAAAAAUUGAUGAAAACAAUUUCUACUUGUUUUCUAAAAUAUGUUUUUUAUUUCACUUUAUUUUUAAAAAUUACAAAUAGAAAACAACUAACAAACAAUUUUAUGAAUUUUUAAAAAUAGUUUUUUUUUUAAUUUUUAAAAACAAAAGUUAUUUUUUAAUGAAAUGGCCAAAUGGGCUAAAAACUUUUCAACAGCAAAUUUUGAGAAUUUGGGUCAAGUGCUAUGUGCUCUUGUACAAUCCUCCACUAUUUUUGGCCUUCAUGUCACCGUUGUCAACUUUUACUGUGAAUAAGUUCACGAGCUUAUCUUACUUUAUAUUCGAGAGCAAGGAACAAGAUCUUGAGAGAUGCUUGGUUUGUUUUUUUUUUUGUAUUAAAGAAAUAAAAGAGUAUUCACUUACUAUUCCAUUUUGUACUAAAAAAAUUUGAUAAGACAUUGAUAGGCAUGUAAAUAUUAUAACAUUUAAAUAAACUAAAAAUAUUUUUGUUAUAUUAUUUUAAUUUUAAUUUUUGAACUUUCAUAUUAACGUUCGUUUUAAUUUUUCAUAUGAUUUAAAAUUGAUCAUGGUUCUAACCUUUUACUAGGCUAAAAUCUUUAACUUUUUUAGAUACAUAAAAUAGAAAAUAAAAUAUAUUUUCAUAUAAAUUGUAUUAACAUUUCUUUAAUUAAUUUUUAUAUUUCUUAAAAUACAUAUAUCUUAAAAUACAUAUAUCUUUUUUAAAAAAUAAGUACAUCAUUUAGAAAAAUAGGUACAUCUAAUAUAAAAACAUGUACAUUUCAUUUCAUCGGGGAUUCUUAUCCUCAUUCAACCUAAUUCGGGUGUGGGAUUUCACUUAUGUAGGUCUCAGAAUGCAUUUGAGGUCUUCUUAUACCCUAUUCAACAUGAUAUAACUUUGUGUACAUGUUUUAAAAAAAUGUAUAAAAGUUUAGAAAAGUAUUUACAUCUAAUUUGAGUUGAAUCAUUCCCUUAUUCGACCUAUUUUGAAUCUAAAUUUUAACUUCUAUAUACCUCAUGAUGCAUUCCCAAACCCUAUUUGGCAUGGUAGAACCCUAGGUACAUAUGUUACAAAAAUAAGUAUACUCUUAAGAAAAAGUACAUCUUUUACAAUAAUAACUAUAUUCUUAAAUAUAUAUAUAUAUAUAUAUAUAUAUAUAUACAUUCGUAAGAAAAAUGCAUAUAUUUGAUUUGAGGUUAACCAUGAUCCAAUUCAACCUAAUUUGGAUAUAAGAUUUGACUUAUAUAUGCCUCAAAAUGUAUUUUAUGCCUUCCAAAACUUCAUGUAGCAUGGUAGAAGUAUAGGUUCUGAAAAGGUGAAUCUCAAUAGUGGAAUACACCUAAAGGGGGGUUGAAUAGGUGUUUUGACCAAUUGAACAAAAUCUCAACUCAAAUUAGUAAACCUUAAAACUUCUUGAAUAUUUUUCUUCUCUUCACAAAGUCUAAAAAACAAAUUAUAAAUCACAUGAAUAUAUGAAUGCAACAACACUCCCCAACAAUAUUCAAAUGAAAUUCACAUGCACAUGAUCUAAUACUCCUAAACCCAAAUCAACUUAAAACUAAAUUAUGAUAAAAACAAGAUCAAUAUACAUCAAAAUAUCAAUGAUUAACAAUCAGAAAUGACUUCAAAGAUAAUUCAUAGCCAUUUCUCUUUAUCAUUCAAUCAAAUACUAGACAAUCAAAAUUAUAAUAAAUUGUAGAAACUAAAAAAUGAUGCGAAGAAGAGAAAACGAGACAAUGAGACACCAUAAAUUUACAUGGAAAAUUUUUGAAGAGAUAAAAAACCAUAAGCCUACUACCAAUCAAAAACAUCCACUAUGAAGAAUAAAAACUAAAUACAAGGUUUUACCUAGCUCAAGCCAACUAAUCCUUCCCGGACCACUUGACUAGUACCUUCACUUUUAGUUUCUCACAUUCUUAUUUUAGAGCACAUUUGGAGUCUACACCAAGCUCGAUCUCGACCUCUUAUUGAUUUCACAUAAGAAAAAAAUGGGUUUUUGUGCAAAACCAAGAGAAUUAGAUAUGAAUGUUUCAAAAAUCAACCCAUGCUCAUUUUCAAAAAAUCCAUUUUAAAAAAAUUUCUUAGAAAACUUGGAUGGAUUUUCUUCGUAGGUAAACACCCUUAAAAUGGUGAGGAAAGAAAAAACUCUCUCACAACUAUUGUAGUCACCACUUAUAGAGAUGGAAGAGAUUUGAUUUUAAAUGAGAAAGAAACCCUUAAUCGAAGGGUUGAAAGUUGAUCUUAAAAAUAGGUUGGUUGGAUCAAUCUGCCUCUACACUUAGAUCAAUCCAAAAACAGGGGAACAAAAGCCUUGUGCUAAUAAUAUUUCUCCUUGUUUUCUUAACUCAUUUAAAGAUGAAAAAACAGGGUUGAUUCAUAUUCAAUCACCACACUCGACUAUAUACCUCAGCCUCUUAGCAAAGUUUUAAUCUUCAAAGGUCAAGUAGUCCGAAGAGGGAUUUGUAAACUGAGUUAGGGGACACUUAGGAAUUUUGUUUGAAAUUACCAACCUAGCUAAACACUCACAAUCUCCUCCUUUGGCAAUUCUGGGACAAAACUCUUUACAAUACGAAUGAGUACAAGUAAGUAAGUCCCACCCAACUCUCAUACAAGGCCACACACUCACUCAAAACCUCACCAAAGGUGCUACAAAUCCUAUAAAUAAAUCUCAAGAAAAAACUUUAGGAGCACUUGCACAUAUUACCAAGACACUUCCAUAAGUUUCGAAUGAAUUGAUACACAAAUAUCCACAUAUAUCCACAAAAUCACAUGUCUAAAGAUAGUUAAUAUGCAUUCAUGAGUUCAAAAACGUGUCAAAUAUCCAUCGAUAUACAAAAAGGGUGAUCAUGAUCAACAUAUCAAAUAUCCAAAGCAACAAAACACAAAGAAACCGUCAUGAUCAACUACAUGUCAUAUCAACAUCCAUGUAAAAUGUAAAAUGUUUCCUAAUUUUUGUCCCAGUAGGAGACAAAAGGUCAUAAUCUCCCAUUUUCUAUCUUAGAAAAAAGACAAAUGAAUGAGAAUUCAAUAGCAUAAUAUCUCACAUCCAAAUCAACAAACAUCCACUUUUCAACAAAAUGUCAAAUACCCAAAAAUCAAAUAUUCACAUAUUACCAAGUAUCCAUAUCAACAUUUCAGAAAAAAAAAAUUAUAGGAUACAAUAAUCUCCUCUUGACUCCCAUCACAAGAUAUAAGAAUCUCUCCCUGAAUCCUAUCACAUGGUUUCAAUUAAAAACUUUCAAAAAAUAUGCUUUAUCACCAUGAAAAUAGAUUUCAAGCAUGAAAAUUUAUGGAAACCACUCAAAAUGAACAACCAAAGCCUAGGAUUAGCAUUCCUAGAAACUAGGAACACUCCAAGGCAAAAAUGAAAUCUCAAACUAUUAAAACUAUUGUGAGAAGACUCCACACACAAAAAAUAAAUAAAUAAAAUCCAAAUGAGACUAAGGGCUGAUUGGAAUUUCCAGAAGUGUAGAUUGUGUUGUGUUGAUUGUGCUGUGAAAAACAUAGUCCUAAGGGUUGAUUGGAAUUUCCAACUGCUGGAACGGAAUCCCAACUACACAAGAUACAAUCUAGUGACGCACAUUGGAGGUCCUAGCCAACACAUACUAUGUAGAAGGCAAUUUCUGACAACACCGACGCACUAAGAAGAGACACACAGACCGACGACAUGAGUUGGACAACACAACAAUUCUAGGCUAUUCGACGAGGCUGUUUGGUGGGAUUGGCUAGACUUGAAACGCUCACCAGAUAGGGAAGUCUGACUAUAAAGGUUUCCAAUGGUAGAGACUUAUGACGGUAGUGGUCGGAAUGAUGAACCGACGAUGAUGGCUAAAGAGAAGCAUAGAGUAGAGAAGUUUCCUUCUUUAGAACAAAAGACCUAGGGCUUUUGAAAGAAAUGAAUUGGGAAAAACUGAUUUAGGGAUUUUGACUUUUUUACUUUUAGUUACGAAAAUACCUCUCAUCCAUUAAACCAUAUGAGCAUAACUAGUUGGGGGCAAAAAUGGAAAUUUUCACAAAUGCAUAAGUGGUAUCGAUUUUAGUGGAUUGAUCUAGCUUUCGAUUGUGCUCUCGAUGAUACACAGUCACAUAGGUUUGAACAUACCAAAUUUGAAAAAAAUGGUUAAGUGUGUGAGAGACAAGUACUAGGUGGUAUCGACCUUGGUGGAUCGAUCUAAGAUUCAUUCAAGGGCUCUCGAUCACUACAUUGUGCACACAAUGGAUCGAUCCACAAAUUCAAUAGAUCGAUCGACACCUAAUUGAAAAAUGACUUAGGCAAAAACUAUUGAAAAAUCACAAGAAAUACACCAAUAGGCUUUCCAAAAACUGAAAAUUGAUUGACCAAAGAUGAGAUACAAUAGGAUGGCAUACUUAUAUUUCAAUUAAUGAGUUAGAGUUGAUUCACAUUGAACAAAAAUGCUUCCAAGAACUUAACAAUGGACAAAAUUAAUAAACAUAGAGAUUGAAGUACUUUCCAAAUUUAUCAAAUGAAUAGGUAAAAAACAAAUGAUUAUCAACACUCUAACAAGGAAGCUUAAGCUAAAAAAAAAAACUCACUCAUGACACCAUAAAACGGUGAAAAUGUUAAAUAAUUUCCACUUAUAAACCUAUAUUCAUUUAUGAGCCAAAAAUCAUUUUCAAGAUACUCUUCCUUUCUAGAGAAAUUCAAGAUAAUGUUCCAAGAAGUCAAUUUGCAUCUCUCUUGGCUAGAUUUCUGUUUAACAUGACCUAAUCACAUCCCUUUAAUAAAAUUCAUACACUAUUUGCUUUUCAUAUUUAGCAUUGAAAGGAAUACAAAGCUAUAAGUUUUACCUUAAAGAUCAGUUUUUGACUUGAGGAUCUCUAAGGACGCCUUUACAACAUAACAACAUAAGAGAUGUCCCACUUUUGCAAGGGAGGCUUUUUAAUUCUUGAAACACUGCCAAAGAGCCAUAUCCAUUCCGGGAAACUUCAUAUUUUCUUUUUCUUUUCUUUUUCAUUUUUUUUAAAAAUUUAAUUUCAAAGAGAGGACAAACAAUCAAAGAUUGAUAUUCUCAACCUCUCAAGGAUAUUCCAGGUGUCUUUACUCACUCUUUAAUGCUCAUUAAAUGGGUAUAAGUUUACAUUUAGACUUUAAAGAGCAUUAUUCACCAUUUAUGCAAACACAAGGUCUAACAAUGAGCUUUUUCUCACUUAAUAGAAAUGAAGCUAAUCAUUUGUAGUUUAUCUAACCAAAUCAAAAUAGCAAGGAUUCAAUAUCAUGUUUAUCAAACAAGCCAUGGAGAUAAAGACAUCUUGAAGCUUUUAAGAUCAUGAUGAGUUAAUUUAACUUUUAAACAAAAUGAAUAAGCAUGUCACUCUCAUGAACUCAACAAUUGUUGAAAAUUUAUGAAAAAUGGAGAAAAGAUUGAACCAAAACAAAAAGAACAUCAAGUUGAUGAUAUUUGGGAACUUAGGAAGACAACUAGGACUCAAGAAUAUGCAAGAGGAGUCCUAGACAAGUUUUAGAGGCAAUUAAAUAGAGAGUAUAUAAACCUAUGGGGCUCCUAAGUGAUUCAAACCUAGAAAUGUCCAAAGGUUUAGUAACAUUGUUAGCAAUUUGACUUUCUAUAGGGAAAAACUCUAGUGAAACAACCUUGUCUUCUACCAAGUCUUGAAUGCAGUGAUGCUUAAUGUCCACAUGUUUUUAUCUAGAAUGAAGAACACGGUUCUUUAACCUAUCAAUAACAUUGGCAUCAUCAAAUUCCUCCCCAUCAAUCUUAACUUUUACAAUGGGAUGCUCUUUUUCAUUUUGCAACAAUCUAUGUUGUAGCAAGUGAUUAACACAUACAAUUUUAGAACUUCCACACACAAGAGAAGAGGAUGAAGGAGAUUUUUUACUAACAACAUAGCACUUAUCACAAAUUCUCAAGCCCAUCAUCACACAUACAUCAUUCAAGUUAAACACCUUGCAAAAAUUUUGUGAAAAUUUUACAUUGAACUCAUUCCCACACAUUUGGCUUAUUCUAACUAAGUUAGCCUUUAAACCUUCAUAUAAGACCUCUUCAAGAUUAGGAAUUUCGGGGGCACAAAUGGUACCUUUGUCUUUCACCCUAGCCACAUUACCAUAUCUAAAUGUCACAUUUCCUCCAUCAAAUUCAGUGAAUGAAGUGAACAAAGAUUUAUUUCCAGUCAUAUGAUGUGAGCAUCUACUAUCAAGAUUCCAUGAGUGUGACUCACUAGCUCUAAGUACGUUAUGGACAACAAAACACUUCAACUCAUUCAUUUACACCCAAAUUUGUUUAAUAUUUGAGACUUGUCUUUUCAUUCAAAGUGCUUCCUUUCAACUCACCAUUAUGAGGGAUCUUUGACCACUUCUUGGACACUCUCUUAUUCUCAUUCAAUAACCUAUUCUUCAAAGUAUAACAUUCAUUCAUUAGGUUGGUAAAUUUCUUUUGAAAAUUAUCAGACAAUCUUGCAUAACAUCUAUAAAAAAUGUGUCCCAUUUUGCCACAAUGAUUGCAAUGAAACUUGAUUUGAGAAUGAGUUUUCUUAGGAGAUUAUUUUUCACAAGGCUUAACAAAAAUUGUUUUACCACUACUUGGAGUAGUAUUUGCAUCAACAAAUCCUAAGCCUUGUUUAUCAAAAAAUUUACACCCUAAAUUGAUCAACUCAUUAAGUCUCUUAGAGCUAGGAUGUGACUCUUCCUUCUUAAGACUUAACCCAUCCUUGAACAUUUGAUUCACUUUUCAAUACAUAAUAUUUUUUCUUCACUUCCAAAUGUUCAUUUUCAAGAAAUCCAAUUUUGUCAAGCAAAACCUUAUUUUCUCCCUUCAAGACAUCAAUCUCAUUGAUUAGAAUAUUCUUAGAAGCCUUCCACUUGACUUGUUCUUGUUUAAGGCUCAAGCACUCCUUAUACAAAGUCUCAUAUGCCGUGUCAAAACUCAUGUCAUCAUCAUUGGAGUCACUUGACUCAUGACUCACUUAUCACUUAAGACCUCUUUCUUGAGUGGUUUCUCAUUGACACUUGCAACAAAGGCUAUGAAGUUAGUGCAUUUUUCACUUCCAUUGGAUUCUUUUUCACUUGAUUGACAAGAUUCUAUGUUGCUUCAAGUGACUUGCAUGACCUUCUUUCCUUUUUUUCUUUGAGGGACAUUUGGCGGCAUAAUGUCCAUUUCCUCUACAUUUAAAGCACUCAAUCUCCAACUCUUUUUUCACACAUUUCUCCAUAUCCUUCUUUUUUUUCUAAUAGAGUUCCUCCAUUUUUACCAUCAUUUGAUUCUUUCUUGGAUUUUAUGAAUUUCAUGUACUUCUUAAUUUUUUUAGUAAACUUAGUAAGCACACCAUUUGAUAUUUUCUCAUCAUCCUCACUUUCGGAACUUAGGGACUCUUCUUUAAUAGUUUUUAAAGCAAUUCCCUUAGCUUUCCUAGGUGAUACAAGCGUCAUCUCAAAGGUUUGGAGGGAACCUACAAGUUCAUCUAUCUUCAAGGAAUCCACAUCCUUAGACUCUUCAAUGGUGGUAACCUUAGCUCUAAAUCUCUCUCGAAGAGAUCUUAAAAUUUUUCUAACCACCUUAGUGUUAGAGACGGAUUCACCUAGAUUGAAGUUAGAAUUCACUAUAUCCAUCAAUUUUGCAUGAAAUUCUCCAAAAGUUUCAUGGUCAUCCAUCCUAAUGGUCUCAAACCUAGAUGUCAACAUUUGAAGCCUGGACAUUUUUACGACAUUAGUUCCUUCAUGAGUCACUUGGAGGAUAUCCUAAGCCUUCUUUAACCAAAGUGCAUGUGGCAAUCCUAUGAAAUUCAUUCGUACUAAUGGCAUUGAAGAUGGAGUACAUGGCUCUAGCUUUAUUCUCACUUGCUUCAUUUUCACUUCUAUCACAUUCCAAUUUUGGCUUGAUAACAUUUGUUAGUUUACCUUCUCUAUCUAACACCUUAGGUGGAGACUAACCAAAUUCAAUGACAUUCCAAACUUUUUCACUUUGCAUUUUGAGAAAAUAUUGCAUUCUCACUUUCCAAUGAGAAUAAUUUUCACCAGUUAAGAAUGGUGGUCUCCUAAUGGAAGAUCUCUCUUAAUGAGGUUCCAUGAUUGAGAUUUAAGGACCGAAAAUGAUUUUUUCUUUAAAAACCCUCUCUGAUACCAAUUGAAAAGGUGAAUCUCAAUAGUGGAAUACACCUAAAUGGGGGUUGAAUAGGUGUUUUGACCAAUUUAUCAAAAUCUCAACUCAAAUUNNNNNNNNNNNNNNNNNNNNNNNNNNNNNNNNNNNNNNNNNNNNNNNNNNNNNNNNNNNNNNNNNNNNNNNNNNNNNNNNNNNNNNNNNNNNNNNNNNNNAAAAAAUGCACACUCUCUCACAAAGAAUGUAAAUUUUUCAAAAAAAAAAAAAAAAAAAAAACUUUCUUUUAUGGGGGGGCGCGGUGCUAUACAUUCUUAUAUAGGUAUAUAUAUAAAAAUAUAGAGACCUCACAGAGAAUGUGAGGGGUUCCUGUUCCUUGUGGGUCACUUCUAAAUCCUACACACACCCCUAAGAAACACACACACACUUUUUUUAUGGUGAACCACGACAAUAUACAUCCUUAUUUGGAUCUCUCUAUAAACAUAUAGAAGUGUGGGAGUGUGUGAGGCUCUCCCUUAUUUGAGUGGGCGUUUCUAAAACCUAUAUACAAAUUUUUUUACAUAUAGAAAUAUGAGAGGUACACGUCUAUUAUCUUUUCAUACCAUAUCUAUAUCACUCACUCUCUCUCUCACGUUUGUUUUGUGUGUAUAUAUAUAUAUAUAUAUAUAUAUAUAUAUAUAUAUAUAUAUAUAUAUAUAUAUAUAUAUAUAUAUAUAUAUAUAUAUAUAUAUAUAUAUAAAGUAUAUCCUUUUUAGGUUGUGCCUUUGAAUUAUUCCACUUNNNNNNNNNNNNNNNNNNNNNNNNNNNNNNNNNNNNNNNNNNNNNNNNNNNNNNNNNNNNNNNNNNNNNNNNNNNNNNNNNNNNNNNNNNNNNNNNNNNNCAAAGAUGAUUCAUAGUCAUUUCUCUUCAUCAUUCAAUCAAAUAGUAGACAAUCAAAAUUAUAAUAAAUUCUUGAAACUGAAAACUGAUGCUAAGAAGAGAAAGAGAGACAAUGAGACACCAUAAAUUUACAUGAAAAAUCUCCGAAGAGAUAAAAAACCAUGGGCCUAUUACUGAUUGAAAACAUCCACUAUGAAAAAUAAAAUCUGAAUACAAGGUUUUACCUACCUCAAGCCAACCAAUCUUUCCCAAACCACUUGACUAGUACCUUUACUUUCAGCUUCUCACCUUCUUCUUUCGAGGCACACUUGGAGUUUGUACCAAGCUCAAUCUCGACCUCUUCUUGAAUUCAUACAAGAACAAAAUGGGUUUUUGCACAAAACUGAGAGAAUGAGAGAUGAAUGUUUCAGAAAUCAACCCAUGUUCGUUUUUAGAAAAUCCAUUUUUUUAAAAAAAUUAUUGGAAAACUUGGACGGAUUUUCUUCAUAGGUAAACACCCUCCAAAUGGUGAGGAAAGAAAAAACUCUCUCACGGCUACUACAGUCACCACUUCCAGAAAUGAGGGAGAUUUGAUUUUAAAUGAGAGUGAAACCUUAAUCCAAAGGUUGAAAAUCGAUCUAAAAAACAUGUUAGUUGGAUCAAUUUACCCCUAUACCUAGAUUGAUCCAAAAACAGGGGAACAAAAGCCUUGCACCAACAAUAUUUCUCUCAGUUUUCUUUACUCAUUUAAAGAUGAAAAAUAGGGUUGAUUCACAUUCAAUCACCACACACUCAACCACAUACCUUGACCUCUUAGCAAGUCUUAAUCUUCAAAGGUCAAGUAGUUCGAAGAGGGAUUGGUAAACCAAGUUAGGGAACACUUAGGAAUUUUUUUCGGAAUUUCCAACCUAGCUAAACACUCACAGGUUCAUUUUUUUAGAAACAUAUAACACCUUAAGAAAAAUAUGUACAUUUGAUUUCAACUUAACAUGACAGAGUCACACUCAUUUGGGUCUAAGAUUUGACUUAUGUAUGCUACAAAAUGUAAUUAAGAGCUUCCCAAACCUCAUUUGACAUGGUGGAACCCUACCUAAGGUACAUCUUUUACAAAAAUACAUACAUUCUUAACAAAUAUAUAUAUAUAUAUAUAUUUUGAAGAAAAAUACUUACAUUUUUUUCAAGCGAACUGUGUGUUGGCGUCGUAGAUCUAAGGAACGGAAACAAUACGAAUUUAUUUAUUUAUUUUUUUAAAUUGAUCUUUAGGGUUAAAGUGCUAACCUUUAGGUUUGGAUGUUUCAGACCUUAAAUUCCAAGUGUUGAAGAUGACAUUGAAGUUGUUGGAAGUCUCGUAAACCCAUGGUCUUUUGCUUGAUGACUCAACUUUAUUCUUGGCACAUUUUUGAUAGGAAGGAAAGAAAGGUGGAGGCUAGAGCUCUCUUUAUCUCUAAAUGGUGGAAGGAAAAAGUGAUGAAGACUCUAACCCCUAGGGGGUAUUUAUAGGGUUCCUAACUAAGCUUAAGUGACUUGAGCCCACAUGGGCUUGGGUAACUUAAUUUAGGCCAAAAUGGAUCCUAAUUGAUUAAUUAACCCAAUAGGGCCUACUAAUUAAUUAAUUAGCUCAAUCUAGAGACUUUGUUCACUUAUCCUUGUGCAAUCUUGUAUAAUUACCAAAACACCCUUAUGCACAAAAGUAAACCUAUAGUCAAUUCGACCCUCAUAACUAUGCCAAAAAGAUAUAUAAGCUCAGAGCGGGGACCACUAGGAUCCAUAAGAGUACUAACUCCCUCAGGAUCCAAUUAUGAAGUUGAUUCAACAUCUUAUUACAAAGAAUCAACCAAACUCCAAUAUUCUAUGUAAAUAACAACAAGACACUACGUGCUCGGGUCUAUGACCUAGUAUCCAUUGUGUUCAGUCUUCCCAUGAACUGGUGUUUUAGUCUAACAAGGUGAAAGCUAUCAACCUUUCAAGACUCUCUACCAUCCUUGUGUUACAAAUCCUCCUAUUGUAUAUUCAAUUGACAUGUCUUAGCUUUCAAAGAGCUUAUGUCAAGUUCUACUUAAGGAACUAUUAUGACCAUAGUUUCCAUGAACACAUCCCCUUAAGAUCACCCAAGGGGACACAUUGUCUCAAUCCCAUGAGAUAUCAUGGUGUCUAUUGAGAAUGCCUAUUGUUACCGACUUCCAUUAACAGUGACCCAAUCCAUAGGGAAUAUAUGAUCAACUUACGAUCUCACCCAUAGGUAAAAGUCAUUGCUAAUUUUAGUACAAUCUCAAUAUUCUCUCAAGGUUGAGAGAUAACACAAUGAAGUAUCUUGGUGAGGUCAUGACUACUUGAUAGUCUUAAGUCAUGACUCAUCAUAGGUCUUGUCCAACGUGUAAUCAUACACAGUAGUGUACUCACCAUGGGAAACCCAUCCCAAUAACGAAGACCAACCAUCCCUCCAAUUAGGAGGUGGUGCACUACAACCUCUAAUGGGUUGCCUAGACCCAUAAACCGGUUGUGAACAAGUCAAUUAUUUGCAAGGAACCCAUGACUUAAAGAUCUUCUAUGCAACUCCUAAUGCACCUAAGUCAUGUACAAUGCAAAAUAUGUUGACAAGACUUCUCAUAAAAUAUAAUACAUGGAAUAAAGAUAGAUAAAAGUGAAAUGGGAACAUCAUUAAAUAAAUAAGGAAUUUCAAAUUUAAUACACCAUGUUAUGCUUUUAAGAGCUCUAUCUUAAGACUAUAAUCCUAUUUGACCUUAUUUAGGUCUAGGUAUUCACUUAUGGAAGCCUGAGAAUGAAUUAAAGGUCUUUCCUUACCUUGUUAGGCUUUUCUAAACCAUAAGAACAUCCUUAAGAAAAAAUACAUAUAUUUUUAUGGAAAACAUGUACGUUCUUAAAAAAACAAAAUAUGUGCGUUUUUUUUAAAGGAGAUUGUGACCUUAUUUUGCCUUAUUUAGGUUUUAAUAUUAACUUAUGGAAGCCUUGUAAUAAUUUUGAGGCUUCCCAUUCCUCGUUGGUCAUUUUUAAAGUCUACGUACAUCUUUAAGAAAAAUAUGCACAUUCUUAAACAAAGUAUGUAAAUUCUUCAAAAAAAAAAAAAAAAAAAACCUUUUCUUUUAAGGUGGACCAUGGUUCUAUUCAUUCUUAUUUAGGUCUAAAUAUUAAAUUAUAGAAGCCUCAUAAUGAAUUUGAGGUCUUCCUGUUCCUUGUAGGUCAUUUCUAAAUCCUACAUACAUCCUUAAGAAACAUACAUGCAAUUUUUUUAAGGUGAACCAUGACAAUAUACAUCCUUAUUAGGAUCUCAAUAUUAACAUAUGGAAGUGUUGGAAUGUUUGAGGCUUUCCCUUAUUUGAUUGGGCAUUUCUAAAACCUAUGUACAAUUUUUUUAACAUAUGGAAAUAUGAUAGGUACAUGACUAGUAUCUUUUCAUACCAUAUCUAUAGCAUUCAUUCUUACUAUCAUGUUUGUUUUGUGAUUAUAUAUAUAUAUAUAUAUAUAUAUAUAUAUAUAUAUAUAUAUAUAUAUAUAUAUAUAUAUAUAUAUAUAUAUAUAUAUAUAUAUAUAUAUAUAUAUANNNNNNNNNNNNNNNNNNNNNNNNNNNNNNNNNNNNNNNNNNNNNNNNNNNNNNNNNNNNNNNNNNNNNNNNNNNNNNNNNNNNNNNNNNNNNNNNNNNNUCAAAAAAAAAAAAAAAAAAAACCCUUUCUUUUAAGGGGGGGCACGGGUCUAUUCACUCUUAUUUAGGUGUAAAUAUAAAAAUAUAGACGCCUCACAAAGAAUGUGAGGUCUCCCCGUUCCCUGUGGGUCACUUCUAAAUCCCACACACACCCCUAAGAGACACACACGCACUUUUUUUAAGGGGAGCCACGACACUAUACACCCCUAUUUGGGUCUCUCUAUUUACAUAUGGAGGUGUGGGAGUGUGUGAGGCUCUCCCCCAUUUGAGUGGGCGCUUCUAAAACCCAUGUACACUUUUUUUAACACAUGGAAAUAUGAGAGGGACACGUCUAGUGUCUUUUCUCACCCUAUCUAUAGCACUCUCUCUCUCUCUCACGUGUGUUUUGUGUGUAUAUAUAUAUAUAUAUAUAUAUAUAUAUAUAUAUAUAUAUAUAUAUAUAUAUAUAUAUAUAUAUAUAUAUAUAUAUAUAUAUAUAUAUAUAGAUAUAUCCUUUUUAGGUUGUGCCUUUGAAUUAUUCCACUUCUAAUGGUUUGAAUUGUUUUUUCUAUUCUAAUGACUAUAAUUACCAUGGUACCAAGAAUUAUGUUUACCACGACCAUGAUUGUGUCCUUAGCCUUGUUCACGUCCAAGUCCAACUCAAUGUCUAGGAGCUUGGACGGAUGUGACAGUUGCUUCUAGCAAUGACACAUACCUAAUAGUAUGAGGUUGAUGAUUCUUCGGUAGAAGUUCAUUAUUUUGUUUAGCCAUAAGAAGACAUUAAACUAAUUCAAAAUAUUUAGUGAAAUGAUGUUCUUGAUAUCGUUGCCAUAGGAGUACAUUCGAGGCAUGAAAAAUGGUGUUCAUUAUUCUUUAAUGAUUUUUUCUCCAUAUAAAUUGUGAACAACUUUUGAAUAAAGUCGAGUUGUGGUCAUUGACAGACUUGAAAUUUUGUAAUCUCAAGUGCAUCUAAUCAUGAUGUGCUUUUGGAAGGAUUACAAUCUCGUGGUGGCCAUAUCAUUAUGUUAUAUUAUUCCAAAGGAUCAAAGUAUCAUUCCAUUAGAUUAUUUCAAAGGAUGAAAAUUCUUUGAUUGUAAGGAAUUCACCUUUUAUUCCUUCAUCAAUGUGAUAAUGAAGGAAUAUUAAUGCUCUAGUACGAUCUUGUGAGGAUGCCUCAUUUUAUUUUUUAAUGGUCUUUUCAAGAUUCAUAUUGUUUAGGUGAAUUUUAGCAUCUAGAAUCCAUAUAAAUAGUUUGCCUGAAAUAGGGAGUGUAACAAACUCAAACUUGGUAAGAUUUGACAUUAUUUGAAAACUAUAUUUGAAAUAAUUUAAUUGGAAUAAUAUUUCAAUUUACCAAAAUGAAUUAUAAAUAAAUGAAUAAAAUUAUCUAACAAUAUUUUAUCAGGUUAAUAUUCAUUAAUAAAAACAUAACGAUUUAAGAUUUUGUUAUAUUUUAUCUCUAAAGGAUUAUUAUAACUAUGGUAAAAAAAAUGCAUGAACAUCAUGUAGUAUUAACAAAAUAAAAAUUACGAAUUGAUAGCUUACAUAGCUUUUGGCUAUGGAUUAUUUUUAUCAUAACAAAAAUGUGUAAAUUUGUAUAUAUCUUUAGGCUAUGAAAUAUUCAUUAUUUAACUUCUAACUAUACAAUUUUGUUUUGUGUAACAUUUGGUUAUAUCAUUAUAAUUAAAAGAAAUUAGAAAUUACGUGUAAGUCAUUCUUUAUAUUUUUAUAACUUUAUAAUUUCUCAUAUAACCUUUGGCUAUACAAUUGUACAUAUUUUACAUAUUUUUUUAUAACUUCUAGUUGUGAUUUUUUUUCAUAAUUUUUGUCUAUAAAAAAAAUAUUUUCAAGUUUCUUCAUCGAAAAAAGGAUAAAUUAAAUAGAAAAUAAUACAAAAGUAGAAGUUUAUCACAUACCUUUUAGAGGAGAAAAAAGAUAUUUUAUGAGAAUAAGUUUGUCCUUUUAGUGUUUGAAUCUUAUACAAAAACUUAUAAUAAGAGUUUUCUUUUGGAGAGACUAGAAUUAGAGAAGAGAUAGAGUUCUAAAAUAACUUUGAGGUAUCCAUUUCAUUGACCCAAGUUUCCUAUUUAUAAGAGUUUGAAAAAACUAGGAUUAAUUAUAAUAUUUAAUUCUUUAUGGGGAAAAAGUAAAAAAUAAAAAAGGCUUUUAAUCAUUAAUUAAGAGUACUUGCUUAAAUACAAAAUUUCACAAAAAUUUAAACUAAAUUCCUUUAAAAAAGAAUAGAUAACUUGUUUUAAAAAAUAGUUAAACUAUGUUAAUUUUAUAUAAUUUGAGUGAGAAAUAAAUUUAUUAUAAAUUGACAAAGUUGUCAUUCACAAAAAGCAUCAAAUAUAUUUGAUUUUUUUUUUCAUUUUCAUUUUUCAUUUUUUUAAGGAAAAAUCAGAUUUAAAUUUUUUUCAUAAAUUGAUAGCUAAAAGAUAAAUUUACAAAAUUUCAAAUCCCCACAUGUUUCCAUUAUUUUUACCCCAUAAAUUAUCCCAUCCUUAAUAAGAUUGAAUUUUGCAAAUUAUUAUUGAUUACUCAUUCAAAAAUAAAAAUAAAUUACACUAAAAAUCAUAAAAUUUAAAUUAGAAAAAUAUUUAAUAUAAAUUUUAAAAAUUCAGCUUUAUAAAAAAUAAAAAUAAUUAUCAAUUCUAAUAAGAUUUUUUUAAUCAAAAUUCUAAAGCAUAAUUCACAUUCAUCUAAAUAUUUAUUAGAAUUAAUAAUUUUUAAAAAUAUAAAUUAAAAUUUGAUACCCCUUCGGAGAUAAAAUUCCAAAAAUCAAUGAAUUAAUUUAGAAAAGAAUACAUAUUUCAAUCUCAAAUCUUCAAAUCUAAACAUAUACUAACUUAGAAAAGUUCUAAUAGUUUCUAACAAGUCUAAGUGGGUAUUUGGUAAAUCAAUUUAAUAACUUAAUUCAAGUUAUUAAAUAAAUUAAAUAUAGUUGGUAAAAUAAUUUAAUGGUAUGACUUAAAGUAAAAAACAACUUUAAGUAAUAAGUAAAAAUAAUUAAUUUAUUCUUAAAUUCAUGUUUUCAUUUUAUCUUUUUACCCUCAUUUAUCUUAGUUCCACGAUUUAUUUUGCUAUUAUACAACUUCCAUCAUUACUUGAUCUCAUUUACCCUCAUUAUAAUUUAUGGGGGUAAGUAUAUUAAUUUGAUGAUUUAGAAUAAAUUUUAAAUUAAUUUUAUUAAAAAAUCUUAAUAUUUAAAGUAAAAAUUAAGUAAUAAGUUUUAAGUCAAUAACUUCAAUAUAAUUUUACUUAAAAUCAACUUAAGUCAUUGAGUAAUAAUUAUUGAGUUUUACCAAACACCCCAUAAUUAUACUUAUUAUCAUACUACCAAUUUCUUAUCAAUUACAUAAUUAUUUAUUAUAAAAUUUUAAUAUGUUAAUGAAUUAUGAUAUUUAAAUAUUUAAAAAUAUGUUGAUUGCAAACUAAUUUAACAAGAAAUAAAAUAAUAUUAUUUUGUAAAUAUUUUUGUAAUGUAAAAGAUAAGUAAUUUAAUAUUUUUUAACAUUUACUAAUAAUUAAAAUAUAAAAAAUUUAAAUAUUUAACAAUACUUAAUUUAUUCAAAUUUAAAACAAAUUUAGAUCUUAGAUAAAAAUACAAUCACCACUGAAAUUUUAAAUAUUUAAAAUACACAUAAAGUUUAAAUAUUUAUUUAAUUUCAGGAAUCUAAGAACUAAGGAAGGGACCAAUAGUGACUUGUCGAUCUAAAAGUAUGCAAGUUCUAUUUUCUUUUCCCUACAAUAUCAUUUUUUUCCUUGCAACAUCAUUUUUGUGGUGGAAAUUAUGCGGAGGACCAGUGUACUUAAUUGACAGGGCUGGCGAAAGCGAUGACGUGGAAUGAUCAAAGCAAUGAGAUGUCGUGGAAGCAACCAACUAUCGGGACGCUUCUAUAUUUUACCAUGCCAUAACAAAAGUUUCCAUAAUUCGCAAGUUCUGGAGAGAUACGAAACCGAGAUAGAAUAUAAUUUAGAAAGGAAAAUGAAAAUGAAAGCUGAGAUAAGGAAUGAGCAUCACCACCUCCUAGAAGUAUCCAAGGGUUUAACCCACUCUCUGAAAUUUGCUAUAAAUACUCAGCAAUUUCCCGUGUUGUUCAUCAAUACUUAAAAGAGUUUGAAUUUAUCAAUCACAUUAGUAGCAAUGGCAGACGAGAUUAUCGUGUUGGAUUUCCGGCCUAGCAUGUUUGGUAUGAGGGUCAGAGUUGCCCUGGCAGAGAAGGGUCUCAAGUAUGAAUAUAGAGAGGAGGACCUGUGGAACAAGAGCCCUUUGCUUCUUGAGAUGAACCCAGUUCAUAAGAAAAUCCCAGUUCUGAUCCACAAUGGAAAGCCCAUUUGUGAGUCUCUGAUAAUAGUUCAGUGUAUUGAUGAGGUUUGGUACGAUAAAUCUCUGCUUUUGCCCAGUGACCCAUACUAGAGAGCUCAGGCCAGGUUCUGGGCGGACUACAUAGACAAGAAGGUAUGCCUUUGCUGUUGAUUUAAAGCAUUCUUUUCCAUUGAUUCAUGGCGAUUGACUCAGAUUUUGAUUAUGGUGAGGGAUUUGUCCAAAAUGCUGGGUUUCUUCACACGUUCCCUUCUGAUAUUGAGUUUUGUGGGCUUUGGGGUUCCAAACUAGAACUUUUACUGAUUCUCCUUGCUGUUUGUUCAACAAGACUAUACUCUGCAUUUCUGAUAUGGGUUUAAAUUUCUUGUUUAUGUUGAAUACGAAUUCUGUUCGUUCCAUCAGGAAAAACAGAUCUCAAGAAUACCUUUUUUCCCCAAGCAAGGCGAAUACAUAAACCAGAUAUUUAAAGAAAGGUGUUUGGUUUUUUGUUAUCUUGCUGUUCAACAUCUUGCACAACAGUUGUUUUAAUAUAUGUUCUGUUUCUUUGAUCUCUUUCUUCUCAUUUUCUGAAACCCAAUUUGAGGGGAAAAACUUCAGCAAAUGAUACAUUCUUUCAGCUGAUUCUGAUCUUUUUUCUUCCACCGGCACUUCAUUUUAUUCUUAGCAAAUGAUAUUUCUAUGCGGAAGAGUCCUUAAUAAACUUGUCCAACUUUACAGAAUUUGAAACUUGAUGAAAUUCUCCAAAAAAAAUAAUCCUUCUCUCUUUGACUCCAUUAUUUUCCACAGCUCUAUGAACUUGGAAGGAAGAUAUGGUCAACCAAAGGAGAAGAGCAGGAAACAGCCAAGAAGGAAUUCAUAGAGUGCCUUAAGCUUUUGGAAGGAGAGCUUGGAGAGAAGCCUUACUUCGGUGGUGAAAAAAUUGGGUUUGUAGAUGUGGCUCUGGUGACCUUCUCUUGCUGGUUUUAUGCAUACGAGACCUUUGGCAACUUCAGCAUAGAGGCGGAGUGCCCCAAGUUGAUCGCUUGGACCAAGAGGUGCAUGGAAAGGGAGAGCGUGUCGUCUUCUCUUGCAGACCCCCACAAGGUCCAUGGCUUUGUCGUGGUGUU